Molecule: long non-coding RNA, 51561 nt
Filed under: Spirodela polyrhiza (greater duckweed)
Lineage: Eukaryota; Viridiplantae; Streptophyta; Magnoliopsida; Alismatales; Araceae
Description: long non-coding RNA (SPOL_LNC001919)
Source: RNAcentral
UUUUUUCUUUCUUUUCACUUGAAUUGUGGACGAUUCUACUCUCACUUGAUUUUAUUAUCUUCAUAUAAUGGAGCUAAGCUUUCUAACUCAAAAGCAAUUGAAAAUGAAUCAAAUAGUAUCAUAAAGUUUAAUAAUAAUAUAUAAGCUGUGCAUCCAAUAUCGCUUUAUUUCAAUUUUUUCCCGCACGUGCAUGCCCUUUGUUUAGGCUUUGUGCACAUAGAAAAAAAACAUGCACUACACUAUCCGGAUGCAGAAUUAUUAAGUCUGAUAUUAUCUAAUGAAUCAUCCAUCCAAUUCAAAAGAGUUGGCAACGGUUGGGGUUCAAUCAUGUUAACAUUAUGAUUUAACAUUCGCCAUUUGGUUUGGGGACAUUUUUCAAUCCCUUGUAAUCUUCUAGCAUUUUAGAUUGCCCAUGUUUGGUAUAUAACUUAAAUCACAUGUAAUAGAACUCUCCAACGGAGAUAGAUGCGCAGAUAAAAUCAUUUGAUAAGCAGACCUACAAAACAGUAUAGUAGCAUAAGCUCUUUCAUAUGGAUAAAUUCUAUAGACGGUGGCAAACAUACAACUUACAUUUGUGUGCAUUGCUGACAAAUUAAGUCAUGCACUCACAUCUAAAGCGAAAAAGUCACAGUAAUUAUGGAUGCGUUGGAUUUUUGGGGCUGAUCAAAACAAGGAAAUUCAUGGCACUCAAUGAGCACAUAUAAAAGCAUUAAACCUAAAUUAUUGAUCUAUAUUGUCAAUAAGAAAAAGAAGUUGAAGAAUCUCUGUUCUCAGUCGUUCGGUCUAAAAUCUGUAAGGAAUAUCAGAAGAUUUAUCUAAAAGUGUUUAUUAUACACAGAAAGGUAUGUAAUCUCAAUCUUCCAAAAGCCUGAAUGAGCCAUAAUCUGUGAAUAUUAUUUUUAUAUUAUUGCAAAAUAUAGCUUUGGUUACUGUCAUGAUUGUUUCCAUCAUAUCUUAACACGAUACCCUGGAUAUCACGAGUAUCUUAACAUAAUGAACUGAUCACUUGACCAUCAUAAUAAUAUGUUUCUCUUAGCUGUUCUUAACGUUUUUUUCUUCCGUUGAGUAACCAGGCACAUUUUAGUACGAUGCAAUGCUAACGCCAAGAAAGAUUUAGUUCAGCUACAGGCUGUACUUGUUUUCUUCUGUUGAUUAAGGGAUGGAUUUUCUAAAAUGCUUUUCCUUAAGUGGUGUGAUACUUAUCUUCUUGGAAGUCAAUUACUGCUAAGGUGCUUAUCUGGGUAUUUUUGGUUCAAACCUGGUGAUAAUAUUCUCAACAGUUUAAUAAUGUCUGUUUGAUGAUCUUGGUAGAGUAUUCCCGCAUCACCUGCAUGGAUUUCUUCAGUCAAAAAGUUUUUCCCAUUUUUUUCAUUCCUGGAAUAUGGUGAUACGGGUUUUUACUCACAGUAAUUUUCUUGAGUUCAGGAUUCAGCGUGGUCACUGAAAAAUGCCAUUACAGUAAAGGAUAAGAAGCUCAAUGUUCUUUCUAAUAAGGUGCAAAGGCAUCUGUCACUGUUUGACUCAAUAGAGAAAGAAGCUGAAGCUUUAAAGGGAACAGUGGACAGUAUUCAACAGCUUGUGAGUGAAAAAGAGCAAGUAGGCAUGUGUAGUCACUAAACUAUGAUAUUCUUACUUUUAAGUAUUUAGGGUCAGGAAAUAUUUGCAGACUCGGAUUGUUGAAUUUUUACUCUUUAUUGUAGUCGAAAUUUUGACAUGGUGACUUAUUUCACUAUUCUUUGAACAUCUAGUAAUCAGAUUGAGGGAGAAGAUGAACAGAAUUUCAAUAUUUGAGAAAGAGCUUGAGGGUAAGUCUGAUUUUUUUGUAGUUCUUACCUUUGUAAUUUUUGCGCAUUCUUGGACAAACGCUACCAUAAGAAAUUUUCAAGAGAAGGGGAAAAAAUGUCUGACUUUUGCCUCACUGUUAAUUCCUGUUCGCCCCAAGCUAUCUGUUAGCUUCUUUUGUUCUGUCUAAAAUAAAGUACUUAUUUUUCAUUGCUUGAAUUAUUUAUUUGAUAGACAAAUAAUGAAUAAUUGUUGUUUAAUUUUAAGUAUCAUUGUGAUAUUUUUUACUUGAGAGAAAAAAUAUCAGGCUUCCUUGAGUUACCGUUUUUUAGUUAAUGACGCACAAAAAACGAUACCUUUGUGGCUUUUUUUAUGCAUCAUCACAUAUAUGCAUCACAGAUGAGUAACAAGUCUUCAUUCCUUUCCUUUCUGACAAAGAAUACAAUCAUUCUGGCUAUUCAAACAUCAGAAUUCGUUCAAUUUCACAAUACGGCCUCAGUUGCUAAAAGCUUCUCUUGCUCUUGUUAAAAUGAUUUAAUUUCUUUCCCGUAAACGGGGAUUUUUUUAUUCCAUUAUUUUAAAAAUCAUUAUUAAUCUAACCCCUUGCAGAGAAGAUUUUAUUAAUGGAGGGUAAAGUUAGAAACUACCAGCACGAGCUUCGGAGGAAAGAUACAACUUUGUUAGAGUUGGAAGAACAACUUCAAGAGGCAAAGAACGAUAUCGUCCUUCAUUCACAAGUCAAAGAAAUAUCCUUCAGCUUUCGUUUUAUUUUUACUAUCAUCUUUUAUUCAAAAUGGGCAUUCGUCCGGCAUACAAGACUUUGCUUUCUCUUUACUCCCAUCACUUACAGAAAACUCUAUCGAUUAAGGACGAGAUUAUUCAGAGUUUAACAUCAGAAAAACAGGUUCUAGUGUCAAUAACCUUACCCUCUCUCUGUCACAUUUCUUCUUUACAUUAUUUAAAGACAUUGCUUGGCCAGGGCUUGCAUCUCGAGCUACUUAACAUGGAGCUCAUGCUUCAAAAGAUUCAGGGCACCGUUGCAAAUUCAUGGCAAGAGGUUGAACAGCAUAAACAGCGGUUCUUUGGAAACUUUAAAAUAAAACUAUUUUCUCAGUUCCAAGUAUUUUUGCAUUGUGGGGUCAGUUUUUAUAUGUAUUAUUUAUCUUCCUAUUGUAGCUGGAUCAAAAUGUGAACUCUUCGCCACCCGCAGCUCAAGUCUUUAAAAUGUCUUCGGGAGAAGAAAAUGAAAGGUGGUGAUCAUGUUUUUUCGAUAAACUAUCACUUGUUUUCACGUUUGGUGGAUAUUUUUCUCUGACUAUGCUAAAUUAUUUCCUAAAUAUUUUCCUUGUUUACCAUCAUUUUUUAAUAUCAUGUUUAUCACAGGUUGGGAAGGAAAAGACGAGCAUUAGGAGAAGAUCAUCCAUCGAAGACUCCUCGUGAGGCUUCUUCAGAGAAUCCAGGUCUAUCUUGUUCUUUUGAAAGACAUUUUCGUCAUUCUAACUGAUUUUUCUUUUUAAUGCAUCCUUCUAGAAAGUAUUACCGCGUUCUGGAGGGCAAAUUAUUUGUGACUAGGAAUAAUUAUUGUCACUUUAUAUUCCGUCCCCAUAGUGACUUCUGAGCUCUUACAUAGUCAGCUCUUUGACCUUUUUCUUUCGUAUUCCACUUUUAUCCAUUGUCUUUACCCACCCUUAAUCGUAUUCUUGAGGAGUCAGGAAAGAAAUAAAUCACCCCUAUAUUUUGAAAUAUUUAGUGUUAUUAAUUUGUGAAAACAUUCUAUGAUGAAGAUCUAAAGAAAUCUUGGAAAAAUAGUUGUAGAAAAUCUAGACGGGUAAAUUAAUAUGUCGAUGAUCUUAUGUAGGCAUAGUUAUGAACAAACCAAAUGCCCUCAAAAUUGGGUUUUUUUCUGCAAUUAGUCCAGGGCAUGCAUUUGGCAAUGGAGAUCAGGAUGACUAAAUAGGCUCUCAAAUAUUUGGCUUUUGUGCUUUUUUCUCAAGUUUGAUAUUUGACUUUCCUCCAUUAAAGACGCAUAAUAAAAGCAUGACGGCAAUAAUCUUUGGUUUUAUCAAUGACACUGUCCUAUCAUCACCAAGAAAUUAACCAAGCUGGCAUCCUAGGUAGUGUAUAGAUUCCCUUUUGGAGGCGGGACCAAGAUCCCUCCACUGUUUGACCAAAAGCGGUCUAAACAUGAUCCAUCUUGUGUGGGUCAAAAUCACUGACCACUGGGUUUUGAUAUUAUUCCGACUCCCUUCCUGGUACCAUGACCCAUCUCUACUCUGACAAUAAAGUAUGAAUGGUUUCUUCUUCCCUGUGAUGCAGCCAUGGACACCUGCGACCGGAACGUUGACAAUUCCUGCACAUCUGAGGCAAGUCAACGCUACCCUUUUGUUUAAAUUUCUGUUCUUUAAUCACACGGAGUCAACUAUCCACCUUACUAAAUUCCGAAUACGACUUGACGCCUCCGCUCAUUCUUCAUCUCUGAUUUCCUCCCAUAUCUGGUAGAUUUCUUCAAACGUAAUAAAUAUCAAUCUCCUACUCUUCCUCCUCCUCUGUAGUUCACUUCUGCUCAACCCAUGCAUGACAUGGAUUCAGAAGGCUCCACAACCAAAGCAGGGCCUCCUUAGGGUUCUUGACAGAGCUUUGAUCCGAUGGAUGUCCCACAAUCUACACAUGAUCAGGAUCGAGGAUCAAAAAUUUCAGCAGAACACUAUUCCGCCUUCAGAUUCUAAUCAUGGGGUCCCCAUUAGCCCAUAUGAGAAUCUAGAAGGCCAUGAUAGAGUUGUAUUAAAAAUGCUUGUGGAAGAUUUUUUUUUUGCUGAAAAAAGAAGGCUAGUCCUGAGGUCAAAGAACUCUCCUACUUGAAAUAGAAACAAGGCUUUGAUGGAUCUCAGCCGGACUUACUGGUACAUUUUGAUAAGUUCAUGUAAAUAUCAAUAAAAGGAAUUUAAUUUCCUGUAAAUACACCCUUGGACUGAGUUUGUCUCCUCACUUCCAGCGUAGAAAUAGUCCACAUCACCGUGCUAAUUGCCACGUAGGAUAGAGGGCCCGCCACGUGCCACAUGGUGGCCUAGUCAGCUUCUCUAGCCUUCUCUGCUCCACCCUUGCUCACAUCAAGGCCCAUGAUAAGAUGAAUGCCACUUCAUAAAUCUGUGUCAAACGGGUUUAUUCAAUUUUAUAUUAUUGAAAUCUCCCUACCCAUCUCUUAAGAUGGACCCAUUUAUAAUUUCUCAAUCUUCGGGGGCGGCCCGGAUCAUGGAAACAUGGAGUUGGAUAAAAUCCCAAAAAAUGGAGAGAAUAUCCGGCGAUUAUUUACUUCCCCCACCCCUUUUUUUUUGCUUGGUGUGAUUCAAGUCAAGUUUCCGCAAUUAAUGCAGACCCAACCUUGAGCAGGUCUUAGUCUUGCUCCAUUAAUUGAGCCCCUCGUUAUUAUUGGACUUGGAGAACUGUCGGCCAUUUAGAGAGAGAGAGAGAGAGAGAGACCCCGUUUUACCCAGAGCCGAGAAGAGCGCGCGCUGUCUUUAGUAAGACCCAGAUUUUUUUUCUCUCUCAGAAUAAUUCGAAGGGGGGGCUUCAAUUCAGUCAAAGGAACGAUCUGACCCCCAGUGAUUUCUAACGGCGGCUGAUGGCAGAGUUGACCUUUCACACCCGCCGCCCUUCCACCAUCCAGAGACGUAUGAAAACUGGGGAUAUUUCCAAGACUCACAAGCAUCCGAAGACCAGCCUGGGGGAGCCGACGAGAGUUGGUUGGGUGCUGCUGAGCGAACGGGUCGCUCGAGACGCGUUCGCUGGAAUAAUUUCCGAACUAGGUAACGUAUCCUCUUAAAGAACUCCAGCUUGGUGACGAAAUGCCAAAUUAGGAGGCCAAACGUACUCUCAGAAGCUCGAAAUAAUUCUGCCAUCUGGGGGAUUAUUUUCAUGUAUCUCCAACCGGGUGGGCUUCUGGAAACGUUUCUAGAAGCCGACGGCCCCUUUUUAUUGUUAUUAUUAUUAUUAUUUAUUUGUUUCUUUAUUGAUUUGUCUGUCAGAUUUCUUGAGAGCGGAGACUUGUGGCUGCAAAUGUUGGGCACCAUUUUUCUUUUUUAAGAAAUAUAAUUCUCAGAUUAUAUUACGUAAUAUGGGGAAGAUAAUUUAUAGGUGGGGAGGUGAGGGGGAGCCCACAAGUUUUUCCGAUAAUUGGAGCUAAAUUAACUCCCUUUAUGACGGCCAUCUUCUCCCCACCAGCUGGUCUUCAGACCCAUUAAAUCCCCCUCCCCCAAUGCGCAAGAUGAUCGUGCAAGCCAUGGCCGCCCUUCUCUCUCUCCUCCUGGUCCUCUCUCUCUCCGCGGCGGCCGCCUCCGCCGCCGGCGGCCUCCCGCCGGUGCAGGACUUCCUGCCCAGCUACGGCCUCCCCAAAGGGAUCCUCCCCAACGGCGUCGUCAACUACACCCUCUCCGACGACGGCGAGUUCGUGCUGGAGAUGGCGGGGCCCUGCUACGUCCAGUUCACUGAUCUCGCCUAUUUUGAUCGCGUGAUCAAGGGGAAGCUCACCUACGGCGCCGUCACCGACGUCUCCGGCAUCCAGGUGAAGAAGCUGUUCGUCUGGGUCUCCAUCACCGGCCUUGUCGUCACCCCCGACGGCAAGUACAUCGAUUUCCAGGUGGGCAUCUUCUCCCAGAAGCUCCCCAUCUCCCUCUUCACCGAGAUACCCAACUGCAAGAAGCACGCCGCCCCCCACGGUGGCUGCCACGGCCGGAGGCACGGCGCCGCCGCCGAUCCCUCCGCUGUCGCCGCCGCCUAAACCGACCCCUCUCGCCGGAGCUCCUCCUCUCUUUCUUUCUUGUGUCCGAACCCGUGAAAUAAGUAAGAUCUGAACGGUCAACGCCAUCCUUCUAUCUCUCUAUCGGGUUGGACCAGAAUUAUGGAAAUAUUGUUCUAGUGUCGGUUUGAGAACGAUGCUGGUCCUUCGUGUGGAGAUCAUUUUCUUUCUAUUUUUAGAAAGCUUCUGUUUUCGUGGUUGCGAUUACUGUAAAGGCGAACGCGGGAAUCCCCGUUCUUGCAGCCAUCUUUGGGAUACUGCUUCAUAUCUUGUCUUUCUUAGAUUGAACAAGUGAUGGGCUCGACGGCACAAUUAGGAACUGAUCGACGUAAAACUUGUACUUUCAUCGAUUUGCCGGGUCGAGACCAUCGGAAACACUGGAAGAUUUAAUCUGGUUCAGACCGGAGAAUAGCCGGAGAUAUAUCGUCUUUUGCAGAGAGAGAGAGCGAGAGAGAGAGAGAGAGAGAGAGAGAGAGAGAGAGGAGGAGGGAGGGAGGAGGANNNNNNNNNNNNNNNNNNNNGAGAGAGAGGGAGGGAGGGAGACGGCGGAGGGGGUUGGGGAUGUGGGAGGGACGAAGCUUAAAGAAUUUGCUAAUGGGCUUCUAACAUUUGUCCACCAAUACCAAGCCAAUAUUUCUUCCUCAAAGCUCAUCCUUAUUGUCAUCAUUUUCCCUAUUCUGUCAUAUGAAACAUCAUGAAGAAAAACUAUCAUACAGAUUGAUCUUCAGCGUUAAUUCCAUAAAACAUUAACAUAUCCAAACAUCAAGUCCCCAUGUAUUCAUGUUAUUAGAUGAGAUUUCUUUUUGUUAUCUUGUGACUUCAUAUUGUGCCAUUUAAAUCUUUCUCGUAUGGGCUCUUCUCACCUUUCUAGCUUUUUUCGUUCUUCUAUCCAAGUUUUUCUUGGACAUCCUCACCGUCCUAGCAUUACAAUGAAUGUCACAUCAACACCUCCAUUGUCUUUGUCAAUUGCACGAUGUUGUUUUGUCCUUUCUAGGUUCGCCUCUAUCAAUUUUAAUCCUUGUAGAGCUGUUUCAAUUGAUGCCACACAUUUUUAUCCAAACACUAAUUGGUUGUGUAUUAGCAUAAGAUACAUAUACAUCCAUGAUGUGUUGCCGCCCAAAAUCUAGAUAUUGGGACUGGACUUGUCAAUUGAUUCAUAAGCUUUCGAACACAACCAAUACAUAUUCAAACUCCAUUUACUUGCAGGAGUACAUCUUGGAUCUGUCAAUUAUAUUAUGGGCAAAGUGCUACUUUUUAGGCAAUAUUUAUAAUUCUUUUAUUAAUAUCAUUUUCUCUUAAUUAGACAUAGGCGUAAUAGACCCGCACUAAGUCUUCAGAAGAAUGGGUUAUUGAGUCCCUUGGGCCUCUUUCACCAUCUAGAGUAUGUUAGCCCUACUAAGGACCUAUCAAAAUAUCUUAUGAUAAUAGAAAUAACCAAACUAGGCCACCUCCACUAGAUUCACAAGUUUAACAUCUUGAAAUCAAUCUUUGUGUCAUCCAAAUUUAAUAAUUUUGUGCUAACUCAACAUUCUAUAUUUACACUUCUAUAAAUACCUAAUUACAUGUAAACAUUUGAUGUUAAUAAUAGGUUAUACCACUAUGAACGAAAUAAAAUUAAAAAAAUCAAUUAAAACUCUCAAUAAUUACUUCAUUAACUUCCUUAGUGAGGUGAGUCAGCCUACGUCCAAAAGUUAUCUUUUAAAUUUUAUCACCUCGAAAGAUUUUCAAUAGAGAUUCAACUUGGAUGCAUUUACUUGUUGUUGCCAAGAUGCAAAAUUCUUCAAAAAAAUAUCAUUACUUGGGUGCUUAUUGAUUAAGAUUUUUGUGCAUGCUUUUGUUGACUUUCCAUUCUUUUUAUUUCAAUUUCAUGUGUUAAAAAAAUAGUUAAGCAAUGUGGUAGAUGAUAGUAUCCCAUUUUUAGAUGCAAUGUGAAAUAUUAUCAUAAAAUUUUGUAUGAAUUUCGUAGAAAUAAAUUAAAUUGUUGAAGAACAUGUUUUUAAAUGUUUUACUUUUUUGGUAAAAUUUAAUUAUUUUUAUGAAUUAUUUCAAGUUAAAAUAUGUUAUCUUUUAUUUUAUAGAAUAAGUAAUAAUAAUCAUAAUAAAUCUGAUUCUAUGAGCCACUACUUCGCAUGUCCAAUGUAGACCUAGUGGGCUGACCACAUUCUUUAGGAAACCUAAAGGGCGCAUUGCUACAUGGCCUAGGACAAUGAGGUCUGAAGUAUGUGUACAUCAGGGCAUGUGAAAUCUUGGUUCAGGACCAAUGGAUAAAUUGUUCUAAGGUCCAAUGGGUGCUAGGACAUCAAUCUAAGGUCAACUUUGAAAGCUUGUGAUGACAUAUAGUCAACUCAUUUAGGAAUUAUGCUCUGAGAGUGAUGCAAAGUCUAUAGGUUUUAAUGGAUCAAAUAUGUUGAACGAAUCAAUGUAGGACUAACCUUGUAUCUUAUUUUACAGGAUCGAUUAUAGUCAUUCGAUCAUCUCAUUGUUUAAUUCAACAUUGCAGAAUGAGCCAUGUCACUUAGACUUUAGUGGUAGAGCGAUGACCGUUUGAAACUUGGAAUGCACAUGUAAUUAUUAUUUAAUAAAAUAGAUAUUAUUGAUUAAUAUCGGAAAAAAUACAACCCAUAUAGAGUCAGCUAACAGAGGUAUUCCAUCUCCUCUCUUUUAUGAGAUCAAAUCCUUUGGCAAUCAACAAACUAGUGGUGAUCUCAAAUUGUUGGAUGAGUAUGAACAUUAAAUAUGUAUUAUCAUCAUAAUAUGAAUAAUAUAUUGUAUCCACAAACUAAAUUUCAAAUAGUGACAUUUGAAAAUUUAUAUAAGAAAUUAUAUCAUGGUAAAAAUUCUUUAUACAAAUAUAUACAACUUUAUAAUUAAAUUUAUAUCACAUCAAAAAGCUUAUGUACUAAAAGGCAACUCUUCUCCCACAAACCUAUCAUAAGAUAAAAUUCAUAUACUUAGGUACUAACCUCGAAAUCUUGUAUUGUUUAUGUGCCACUCUUGAGUUUGAUGCCUAUGUUUCAUAGCAUAUAUUCCAUAAAUUUAGAUAUUGUGUAUUAUAUUCUGACCAUGCAUUCUAGAUACUAAAAUAAUGUGCUUAGUAUAUAUCAUUAGUAUGCAACAUAAUUUCACUUGUAUUUACAUUUUUAGCAUUAUAUUUUAUUACCCUAUAAGAUAUUCCAACAUUCUUAAACAUAAUGUUUGAUUUUCCUACUAUCUAACAAAAUUCUUCUUACAUUGAAAUUUGGAGCUUUACAUAUUACACUAUUCCACAAUGUGUGUUUUUUGUUGUAAAAUAUAAUGCAAGAUGGGACUUCAAUUAUUCUACAAUUCUAGUUCAUUUUAUAGAAAAAUAGAGGCUUUCAAUUCUAAACUAUUCUUUUAAUAUUUGUUUUAUUUUUAUAUAUUUAUUAUCGUUUAAUUGUCAAUGGUUAUGUAUUUUCCAUGUCAAAUUAAAAUAUUUUUUUAAUUUUAAAUUUCGAUUAGAUACAGUUGAUGUCAAUUUUAAUAUUACAAACUUAAAAAAUUAUUAGUGAAAUAUUAUUACAUAUUUUUUUAAUUUCAUAUGUGAUGAAAGCUGAUAUUAAAUUAUCAAUAUUUUUGAGUGUAGUUCAUAUGAAUAAUGUCCAAUAACUUUGAAAUCCUAUAGGUAACAAGUAAAAUCCAAGUAAUUAUGUAUUAAGACUAAGUAGCCUAGAACUAAUAUUGAAGUACAUGAUUAUAUCGUGUACAAAUAAGCACAUAAAGUUCAAUGUUGAUGCAAAUGAAAAAUCUAGAAUAUCAAGAUUAUUUUUGAGUUUUGAACAUGGAACCUAGUUAGUGAUGUGCCAAAAAUUUGUGUGGAUUAAACAAAUAACUAAACCUGGACUUUAACUUAAAAGAAAAUUUGUGUAUUCACAAGAAACAAAUCUCCAAUAUAAAAUUGAAAUCAAACAAACAUGAAAGGCAAAAAAGUUAUCGUCACAUCUUUUGAUUAACAAAAAGAUUUUUGAACUCGACUAAGUAAUUUUUCAGACAAAAAAUGACUAGAAAAUCCACUAUAUAUGCAAAGAAAAGUUUUAGAAGGAAUAAGAGAAUGGAACAAUGUAUAUUCACUUAUCUUGUGCAACAAUCUAUCACCGUAAGUUUCAAAGGAGAAAAAAUGAUAGUAUAUAAGCUGCACUCAACUUUUGUGAUAUAUGAAAUGAUCCAACUCAAAGGUUGAUAUUCUCCAUCAAGUUUUAAGAUAUAUACCUGGUGAGGGGAGAGAGACUUAGGUGAGGACAUGAGUUGUUAGUAGCCUGAUUGUUCUCAUAAAAGGUGUAGAAGACAAAUGAGAGAGUAAUGAAAGAAAAGGUAAUUAUUGGGAACAUUUGGAAAGUGAGGAAGGAUGCAAGUGGUGCAAGGAGCAGAAUAUUCGGCCAAGCUUCAAUAAACUCUCUCUCAUAUUCAAUCUUGAAUCACAACUUAAAUCUCAUCUCUUUUCUUCCUCUCUUUUUUGCCAUGUUAAUGAUGGAAUAUUGACUUUAGAUAAUGCCCCCAUAUAACUAGUAGAAUUAUAACAAAGUGAGAGAAAUAAGAGGUAAUAAAUGAAAUUAAAUAUUGGAUUCCUGAUGAAAGAAAAAUCUAUUGAAUUCCUAAGAUAAAUGGUGGGAUGAAACUUGAACAACUAUCUUUAUUAAGUCACAUGGUUGCCAUGACAAAUCAUACUCCUUUUUUUCUACAUUGAAGUUAAGGGAACCUUUCAUUCCAGAUUUUUAAAAUUAUCUGUGGUAAGUAGUUUCAAGGACAUAGUAGUUUCAAUGUUGAAAAGGCAUGAUGAUUGAUAGUUCUAGUAUUAAGAAGAUAUAGAUUUCCUCCAAUAAAUUCAAGGUAAUAUCCUUGAGGUCAAUUUGACCACAUUUUCUAUGACUAAUGGAUGGUGUCUUUUCUUUGCAUAGUAUUUUAUUUCUACAAGUGGAUUUGUCUCAUUGGCAAAGGCUCCUUUAGCUUUCAGAAAUGAUCUAAGUGCAUUUUACAAUCCAAAUUGUGUCCCUUUAGCAUUCACUUCAAUUAUUUAACCAAUAAAUAAUAGCAUAGAACUAAUAUAGACAUAAAAUCACAUAUUUUAUUUAUGACAUCAUUAUGAUUCAAAAAUUUUAAUAUCCUCUACUAAAUUCAAUAUAUUAUUAUUUUAUCAUUAAAAUAACAUUUUUACCUAAAUUAAUAAAUAUAAACAUGAGCUAAAUAUAAGUCAUAAUUAACUCCAAUGCUAUAACUAGUUAGAGGGAUGAAAAUAAGCACAAGAUAUUUACUUUAAUUAUUUAAGUGUGAUUUUAGGCUCCAAUAUGUGAGAACUAAAAAAAAUUCAAUGAAAAUAAAAAAAUGAGGUUCAUGCAUGUAAUAAUAAUGCAUUCACCCAAAAGAGUUCAAAAAGAGUAAAAGAUUUGAUAUCAAUUUGAAACUUGGUUCAUUAAGGACCUACAAGAUUGGUGAACCUAUUUGAAGAUUCGGAUAAGAAGAUAUCUCCAUAGCAAGAAUGUUAAAUAUAUUCUCAAAUUUUUAUUUUUUUAUUUUUAAUGUAUCUAAUAACAAAGUAUAUAUUUUUUCUUUAGUAUAUUACCUCAUUUAGUUCUUUUAUUGAUCCUACUUAUUGCCAUUUGAUAAUUAAUUGCAGGGUAUGUAGAAAAAACGUAUUCCCAUACCAUGGUCCUUGACUUUUAGGUUUUAUAUGAACCGAUUCCUAUAUAUGAAGCUUUUAUGGAGUCUCUCCAAACAAUUGUGAGUUGAGCUUAGCUCCAAAAAGUUAGUAUCAAUUUAAUAACUAAUAAGAAUUGUGACAGGCUAGUUCAUCUAAGUUUAUCUCAGAUAACCCAUCCAUCUAAGAUUGAUAAGAUGCUGAGCAAGUCACAUCAGGCCAAAGUGAAGAUGAGCUUAAAUAAAAUCAGCUUAUUUGAAAAAAAUUGUCAAAUAGUCGAAACUCAUCCCACAACUUGUCUCUACAGUUGUCAAAUUGAAAACUAAGUAACCUAUGAUGAAGAGAGUGUGUUAUCAAAUUAAAAUUUAGAUAGCUAGAAUAUAGAACCAAGGGGAGGUUUUUGUACAUAAUCAUAAACAGUUAUAAAAUCGGUCCUUCGGGUUUUAAGUUAUGACAGUCAUCACUAAUUAAACCCUAAACGUCUCUCUCUCUCUCAUGCCUUCUUUCUUGGGCCGUUAAACGUUAACUUUUUUGAAAGAGUUUACCUUUAAACACGUUCAUAGAUUGUUUGUUGUCAGUCUUCAACGGGAAUCUAUACAAAUAGUCUGGAUAAAUAAAUUUUGGCAGUCUACUUCCCAUUGAUUCCCCCAAAAGGAAUCUGAAUAUCAAAAGAAUCUCUUUGUGGAGAAUUUUUUUAGAAAAUUUGUGGUCAUUCCUUCUCCUCAGCUCACACAUGGAGUUGUUGAAGUGGUUCAUCACAUGAUUAUUCUACGUAGAACAGACUGUGGUGCUGUUCAAAGUAUUUUCGAAGAGUAGUCCCGUCGUUGGGCGUGUCCUGUCAGAAGAUAUGUUUAUAGGUUCAUAACGCAUUGCCGCCCAAAAUCAAGAUCCUGGGAUCGGGUGACUGGCGUUGGAUGCUGAGAAGUCCCGUCGGAACCUUCUGCCAUCGAAGAGUAGUCGACUCUCUGAAUUCGGCAUCAUGUGGCGUUUGAAGGCAAUCAACUUUCGGAAGUCGAUCUUCAUUGACUCAAUUGUAUGUUAUAUUGGGUCUGAGUAAUGAUGUAUUAUUCAGUGUAUUAAUACAUGAGGAGCGUGCGAGCAAGAGAGGGAGACAGGGAGAGAGAGAGAGAUAGAGAGAGAGAGAGAGAGAGAGAGAGAGAGAGGAGGAGGAGAGNNNNNNNNNNNNNNNNNNNNAGAGAGAGGGAGGGAGAAGAGUGGCGAAGUCAAGACCCUCGGAUCUCCUCCGGGAGGAUGAAACUUUCAGAGGAGAGGCCCCGGACGUCAAAGGCGACGUCGUCUAUCACCCACGUCUCCUCCAUCUCCGUUAUCCCGACCCUCGCAGUGCCCCCUGCGCCCACCCUGGCCAUGCUCACCGCCGACCGGCCGGCGUGGGCGACCAUGAGGCCGUCGACUGGGCGGUAGUCGCCGAUGUAUGACCGAGUGGCCGUCUCCCAGUACGCCGGCGGGAGGCCCAUCUGCUGAAGGCGGGUUAUCUGGGAGUCCUCCAGGCACACGAGGAGGCCGCUCCUCUGGCUGAAGUAGCCCAGCAUGUAGUGCUUGAUGAUCUCCGUCGUACCGUUGCUUCUCUGCGAGAGUGUCCCUUCGUCGGCGGCCAGCUUCAGCACGAAGCACUCCUCCCCCUCCACCUGCUCCUCGCCGAUGAACUCCCCGGCGGAGAAGGACGCUGCCACCAGCGCUGGGUCCAAUCCCUGCCAGAAAGACCAUUCUUCAUCUAAGGUGGAUAGAACACUUAAAAUUACUGAUUCCGCAUAUAAAAAAAAUUAUCCACAGACUAUUACCCUCUUGUUUUAAAAAAUCGGAUGGAUUUCCAACUGGGUGAACGUGUAUAAUAAUUGAACAAUCUAGUCUUCCCAGCGAGUAAAAGCUCAUAGAAUCUGAUCGAUUGGAAAUACUUUUGCUCAAUGUUGGUCAAUCCAAAUCAGACGCAGCUGAUUUGGAUUGGCUACGGCAUCAUCAUUUCCCUUACCCAAUUCCUCGGAUCCUUAACUUAUUAAACCCAACUCAAUUACAUAUCGGACAAAAUUUUAUCUGAUCCAGUAUGAUCGACAGUAAUAAGGAAGCCGAUCGCUCGAUUCAUUUAUCAUUGACUCCUUACCGCUACUGCAUCCCUUGUGAUCAUCCAUGAACUCUUGGUCAAAUUCCCUGCUGACUAUUGACAAGCUAGCUGCCCUGCCCCCCACCCCACCCCACAAUUUAGAAGGGUUGAGUUUACACCUGGCCCUGAGACUUUCCCUUGCUCCAGGCCUGAGCUCCUAAAAGAUUCUCAGCCUCUCAGUGGACUUUGCAAAUCCCGGGCUGUCCCGUUGACAACACAUGCAGCCAUUAAUGCCGAAGAGUAUGAUGCCAAAAGAUUAUUAUAAUGAUAACAUGGUUGUGUAACAACUACUUAAAUGAUGGCAUUUAUGAACUUAGCUGUAAUGUGGGAUGGCGGGCACGUGAACAGCCAAUGCACUGGCUUGAAUCAUGUGAUGUUGGCGUUAGAUAAGGAGCAUCGAUUCGGCCCGAAAUCUCAUCUGGGCCCGAUUUUCUACCAUGGAAGAGUGGUGGUUCUAAAAGGAGACAGUAGCGGGCCGAAUUGGUCCCCAAACUGUUGUAGAAAGCCCGAAAAGUUCCGGCCCGUUCUUCCCACCGCAUGAGGGCAGCUGAUGCUCUUAUAUGGCGGGCCGGGCUUUUCUUCUAAGAGCCCGGGACAAGCCCGAAUUCCGUGGGGAGGAGGGAGAGGGAUGGGUGCUCUUGCCUGUAGGAAGCGCCGUAGGGGCCUCGCACCGCCGGGGGCUGCGUGGGUGCGGAGCCACGGGGUGCGCCGCCACGCGACCGCGCCGUCACUGCCGGCGGUGACUUUCCGGCCGGCGACCACGAAUUCCGCUAGCCACAUGCCAGGAACCAUCUGCCAGAGAACGAAGCAGCCCUCGUAACAGGCGCCGCCUGCUGCCGGUCGGUGCUCGUCGGAGACCGUGGCCAUCUUCAACUUCCCGGAGGCGUAGAUGCUCUUCACCACGCCGGCCACCCCGGCGCUCCCCGUCGUCGCCUGGAACUGCCGGAGGAUGUACUGCGCCCUCGACGACACCUGAAUUAAUGAUGGAAGGGGAGAGAAUGCAAGCACUGUUGGAUGUAGAAUAUUGCGACGAACAGUAUCGUAUUGUAUCACGGCAUGAAUCAAUCCAAGUUUGAGCUUCAUAUACCUCCGGCGAUGGCGGUGACCGGGGGAGCGGCGGGAGGUCAACGGGAGAGAGGGGGCAGCCGAGGACGCUGAGGAGGACUCUGAGGUCGCCGUCGCGGGGCCUCUUCUGGAAGAACUGGGGCAGCCUCUGCAGGAUGAGCCCACGGAAGGGAUUGACCUUCUUCUUGCCUAGCUUCUCGGGGCCCUCCUCGCCGAUGGGCUCUUCCGACACCGGAGCGAGUUGACCGACCAUGAAGGCGCCAGCGACGCUCUCUCCUCUCCUAUCCGUCUGGCUCUGGUCUCUGGUCUCUAGUCCAGGGAGAAAGAAGGCGGUGUCCCUGGUAUUGGGAAAGGGGAGUGGAGUCGUUAGGGAGGGGGGACUUUGAAGGGUGGCAAGGUGGUAGUUGGGGGAUGGGGCCGCGGGGGUAGGCCGUGGGUCGGGCCAUCCCACAUCACGAUGAAGAGGCGGCGGCUGUCACUAGAUCCUCGGUGUCAGGCCCGCCGGUUCGUACGUAAGCACCAUGUAGAACAUGACUCAACGUGUCUAUUUAUAUUCAAGAGAAUGAUGAUCCUGUAUGACUCUCUCUCUCUCUCUNNNNNNNNNNNNNNNNNNNNNNNNNNNNNNNNNNNNNNNNNNNNNNNNNNNNNNNNNNNNNNNNNNNNNNNNNNNNNNNNNNNNNNNNNNNNNNNNNNNNNNNNNNNNNNNNNNNNNNNNNNNNNNNNNNNNNNNNNNNNNNNNNNNNNNNNNNNNNNNNNNNNNNNNNNNNNNNNNNNNNNNNNNNNNNNNNNNNNNNNNNNNNNNNNNNNNNNNNNNNNNNNNNNNNNNNNNNNNNNNNNNNNNNNNNNNNNNNNNNNNNNNNCUCUCUCUCUCUCUCUCUCUCUCUCUCUCUCUCUCUCUCUCUCUCUCUCUCUCUCUCUCUCUCUCCUCUCUCUCUCAACCUUAACGGGUUUUAAUUUCUCUCAAUGACAUAAAUAGUUUUAAUGGAAAUUUCCUAAGUUUUCAUGUGGCAUACAUAUAGGAUAAGAUCCAAUAGAGUAUGUUCUUGAUUUUGGGCAAGAAAAACAUGUAACAAAUCAAAUUUUGUAGAAAAUGUAUCUCAAAUGAUCAAUUGUAAAGGGAUUUGAACAUAAUAAUUUACUAAAAAUGAGUAAAUUUUGUUGAUACGUAUUUUUAAUUUGAACUAGUUUUUCAAUUACUUCUAAUGAUGAAUUUGUAAGAAAUAAAUCGCAGAAUGACAUUCAAAAAAUAAAACAAUAAUAUCCUGAUAAUUUUCAAACUAGUAUAUAGUCAUCUACCUACGCCAAGUCAGUCAUGGACUCUGCCAAUUCCAACCCAAGUCUUAUUAUCUUUUAGAAAUUUCUGAAUGAAGCACAUUGUAGAGAAAGAUCUAAAAGAGGGCAUUACGAUGUGCAUAAGCAAAACCUAACCAAUCCCUGAACAUUCAUAUGUAGGCAGGAGAGAGAGAGAGAGAGAGAGAGAGAGAGAUUAGGGGGAGAGAGAUGAGCUGUCACUUGAUUUAGGGUAAGAUACUCCCACAGAUUGAGAAAGAAGCUCAAGAUAGUUGAAGCAUAUUUUGGGUUGAUGGCUUUGGAAACCUUAGGUGUUUCAGCGCAGAUCACAAUAUAUUGACCAUAGUUUAGCCAAAUGAUUAAAUAUAUAGCUGCAUAUCUUAAUUUCUCAUGGAUGAUUCGCUUUAACCUAUCAUCAAGCUUAUGGAUUUAGCUUUUGAAAAAAGAAAAGCACAUGUUACUUGGCCUAUGUCUAAGGCAUCAUGGAUCCUAUCAUUGGGCCACCUAUUGAGAGAAAUCAAAUUGGUUAACAUAACUACUCGUCAAUUGUGUUGGAUCAAGUUGUUGGAUAUAGGCUAAGGGUUGUAAAUAUUAAUUAUGGAACUGUCCAUUAAAUAAGAGUAAAUGGUUUAAUGGAUGAACCAGAUUGUUGGACUACUUGCACAAUAUUUUUGAUCUUGUAAUCGGAGCUGCCAAUGAACCUAACUAGAUGAGACAAUAGAUCUAUCUACUGGGUGCUUCAAAUCAAAUUGUCAGACUAGUAAACAAACUAUCUGCCAAGAAGUUGGAAUGAAUGUGCUGUCUUGGAUCUAGAGCCAUCAAUGCAUGAUGUUUGUCCAUUAGGGUAAUUGGGUUUAUUUAUUCCAUAAUGUAGACCUUAAAUCAACUCUUGAAAAGAGGCAGGUAAUCAUUAAAAAGAUUCAUAUAUUAUGGCACACUGCAGCCAUGAUAAGAUGAGAAAAUUGGCCAUUAUCCAUCAAUUGGAAGCAACUCAUUCCUCGCCCAAUAUGUGCAGUGGAUACAUAUAUGCUAAAAAAUCAGAGAAACCCUAGUGAGACAAAAAAGAAGGAUUAAUUAUAGUUUUUUGGAACCUAGAUGCAAAGCAAAAGAGAGAAGGGGAAUAUUUUAAGAGCUAACAUACAUAAAUGUAUCAACCUAAACCUACAAGAAAGAGGAAAUGUCUUCAGGUCAUGUAUUAUAGUCUCUUCCACUCAAAGUUUCCACAUCAUCCAAAUUGAGGAAGAUGGUUCAUUAAGUUUGGGAAUGUAUGUAUAAAUUUUUACAUGUUGUGCAGUUAUGUUGUGACAAAAUUAGGCUCACCUUAAGUCGUGAAUCUAAAAGAAAAGAGUAAAUUAUCCCCUAAUUGGACCAUCUUGAUCUAUGAAUUGAGAAGAUGAUUUCUAAGUGAAGCCUUGAGUUGUAAACCACUAAGAACAUAGUGAAGACAAUGAAUGGUAUCCGUAGAGAGUGAGUAGGUUGAGAAAACUAAACCACUAUAAAUCAUGUUGUAAAUUGGGAUUACUUUUUGUGAUUGACUUUGAGAUCAAAGUCAAGAUUAAUUCAAUAAAAAUACUAGAUGCUCAUCAAAUUAAAGAAAUUCCAAGUUCAACCCUUUGAGGCUAUUCCUUUGAAAUAUAAUAAACCAAAGUAAAAUAUGUGUAAUGUGUUCAUUAAUGGAUGAAGUUAUUAGUUGAAUUUUUAAAGUAUAUAUCUUUAUCCUUCCACUAGGAGGAAUAUUCGGCCAUCAAUUGUGUUAUUAUUGUAGAAUUUCAUAGUGAUUACACCAUUUGCAUUCAUUUUCUUAAAAAAUAAAAAUAAAAUUUUCAUUAAUUUUGGUUAAAUGCCUAAAUUCAAAAGAUAACAUCAAGUAUUGGCUCAUAUAUAAUUAAGAUCUAAAGUAUGUCGAUAUAUAUACAUAUGGACAUACUUUAAUGAAACUAUAUCCAUAUAUAUAUGUAUGAAACAUAAAAAUAAUUCCUAAUAUUUUUUUGCGAAAUAAUAUAAGACACUAUUUUACCAAAUAAAUUGUAAUGUCUACAUCCUCCAAAGUAAAGUAGUCAUAAACUCUGCUGCAGGGAGUUAAUGUCAUAGGGUGGGACUGGGCAGGACUGGGCAAGCCUAGGUUUUGCUUUGGCCAGCCCAAGCUCAUGUCCUCUAACAAGGGCCAACUUUUAUGGUAUUUGCACCAAGAAAGGUCAACUAGUGAUGAUUCACAGCUAUGAUCUGGGUCAACUCCUAUUAGCUUUGUGCAUCAACACAAGUCUUGAAUUUGUGACGUCUUCCAUUAUGAGGAAAUUGAGAGUGUCUAAUACAGUGACUUGGCACUAACAAGUCCACAGCUAUAGGUAUUGCGCCUGUUGAACUUGAACAGGGGAGAUUUAUUUUUUAUAAUCUCAAUUGUUAGAAUGAUUAAUAGGUAUCUUGUGCAUGGGUUUCUAGUAAAAUAAUAGUUUUUAAUAAGGGAAAAAAACCCUAAAAUUCACGACAAUAAGGAGAGUUGAAAUCUCAAAUAUAUAGGUGUAAAUAUGGAAAAGAAAAUAACCUAACCUAUUGUGUGCUUAUCUUCAGAUUUUUUGUUUAAUAUAAGGGUUGACUCCUCUUCCAAAGUCGUUAAAGUUUUCCCCGAUGAAUCCCAAGGAAAAUCCGGCCGAGAGCGUGGUCAAAAUAAGGGAGAAAACGGAUGAUAGGAGAACUCGGUCGUUGGAUCGCUGCUAUCAUUAGUAAUUCGCUGUACAUACAAAACAAGAGUCGAUGGGCUCCACAGAUAGACCGCAAGGCCCCCGCUUGGAUGCGUCCAAUCAUCAUCAUAUUUCGACGCAGCAGCCCGACUGGACGAAGGUCGAGAACUCCUCCGGCACCCCCCCCAGCGCCUCCAGCCUCACCCGCCUCCCCUCGCCCACCUCCGCCCAGUAGAACCCUACCGCCCCCGCCCCCGGCGCCGCCGAGCCCAUCACCAGCACCCUCUUCCCCGCAGCCACCGCACAGGUCCCCGCUCUCACGGAGGCGCUCUCCUCCGCCCAGCAGACCAUCCCCGCCGCACAGCUCCUCGGGCACCGCCCCUCCGACCACGCCCCCUCCACCCUCCGCCACCUCCCCGUCCUCACGCAGUAGGCCUCUACGCUGCCGCUGAACCUCCCCUGCCCCUCGGUGGCGUACCCGCUGACGACCCAAAACUCCUCCUCUUCCUCCUCCGCUCCGCCGCCGUCGCCGGCGGCGGCGACCGCCAGGCCUUCGCAUUCGUCCCGUUCGUCCGCCAUCGGCGGCAGCUCCUCCCACGAGUCCUCCCUCACACGGUACGCCCACGCAGACCGCAGCGCGUUCUUGUUCCCGUCGUGUCCGCCAGCGACGAACACUGUGCCCCCGGAGGUGCCCGCGCAGGCGAAGAAGGAGCGCGCCGCCGGCAUGUCCGCGCCGCGCCGCCAGCGGCUGGUGCAGAAGUCGAAGACCCACACCGCGCGCAGCGGCUCCCAGGUGAACGGGUCCCAUCCCCCCAUCGCCACCAGCCUCUCCCCCGCGCCGGCCAAAUGGCAGAAGAGCGGCAGCCCUGUGGGGUACUCGGGGAUCUCCGGCAGGCGGCCCCAGGAGGACGUCUCCGGGUCAAAGAGGGUGAUGCCGUACGCCGGAGCGCCGCCAGUAUUCCCUGGUUUCCGCCGCUCCACCGCCUGCGACGGCGGCGGCGCCGACUCCUCGCCGCCGCCGCCGCCGCCGUCGGAAAUGGGGAGGACUUGCACCAGACAGACCAGGGCCCGCGUGUACCCCCUGCGUUUCCUCUGGCGGUAAAACUCCGCGUCCUCCACCAGAGACCUCCACCGCCGGCAGACGCCCCUCGAGGCGCUGAGACUGCCGUAGGGGAGGCGAAGGAGGCACUCCAUAGCGAUCUCCUCCGGCAAGCCUGGGAUCAAUUCCGUCGUCCCUUCCACGAAAACCAUCGUUAAAAGAACGGUGGCGCCGCCGAGCACUGCUCUCGUAUGCACCCGGCUUAGAUUCUCGGAGGAGAAUUUAUGGAGGCGGGCGGUGGCGCCUCCGAAUGUACCAGCGGUGGAAGGAUAAGGACAUUAUGAAGAGGAUAAGGAGGAGACGCCGGAGACGACUGGGCGGCGGAUUCGGAGACCAGCCGGCGACGAUAAGGCCGGCGGAGCUCGACCCCUGAGUUAAUGGUGGAGCCGUCGGUGGGAGGGGGGCCGUAAUACAGUUGGAAGACGUGACCCCUCCUGCCGCGUGUUGCCACAAAGAGGACCCAAUCAACGGGCCCGCCCUUCGGAAAAAUCUGUGCGCUAAUUUUACGAUAAACCCCCAUCAAGGAUCUCUCAUAAACUGCCAGCACGGCACCCUGAAGAUCCCCGUUCCUCUUUUAGGGCGUUAAUGACUUAGGUUGACCAGCCAGGACUCUAAAUGGGCCAAUUUGGGCCGUAGCUUUCUAAGCCUGACUUCGGCCCGGGUGCCAAGCCUAGAUAUAGCCCUUAAACUAGUUGCUGGGCAUUUAUUCAUAGGGAGAGAUUGGAAUGGACAAGUGUGGAUAUUUUUCUCACAAUUGGAUGCUCCCAUAUUAUUUUUUAAUGCCCUUAUUAAAGGAAUGACUCACCUAGCACACUCAAUGCCACCCCUUGGAUAAUACUUUUCUACAAUUUUUUAAAAAUUUUAUCGACGAAAAUAGUAGUGCUAAGGGAGAUAGGUUAUAAUUACGGUAUUGUGAUCAUGAUCAAUCAUCAAUCCAAUUAGAAUGAUCAGCAAUCUGAUCAGCCAAAACUGCUAAUCAUGAUUCUUGAUCUAAUUGAUCAGGUGAUUAUUAUUUAAUAUUAUUGUAUUACAUAGGUGAUGAGGUGAUUGAGUGCUUAAAUAUUAUACAUAAAAUAUAUAAUACCUAUAUUAAAUCUAUAUAUUAGGCCCAAGUUUUAACUUUAUUAAGACAUAUAUUAUGUCUAAUAACUAUAUUAAUAUAUAUUAUGCUUCAUAAUAAUACAUAUAGAUAUAUUAGCCUUAAUUCUUACCUUUAUUAAUAUAUAUAGUGAAAUUAAAUGAACUUACUUUCCAACCUACAUAAAUUAGAUUUCUAGACAUACCAUUUGUGGCAUGUGAGAAGGGCCCAUGCAGUCUAAAGUUAAAGCUUCCUAAUAUACAAUGAACUUGUUUACGAACUUUGUUAAUGAGAGAGAGGGAGAAAGAGAGAAAGGGGCAAGAAAGAGAGGGGUGAGAGAGAGAGAGAGAGAGAGCGACAGUGGUGAAGCUAGUAGCAAAGGUGAAGCUGGCAUAGAUAUUUAAUCUCUCUCUUGUUCAUGUGAAUUGUAACCAUUGGAUGAUAAAAAGUCAUCAUCCAACAGAUGGUCAACUCUAGCUAUUAAUUUGUCGAUUGAUGAUCAGUUGAUGACCUAGAUCAUGAUCGUGGUCAUUUUCCAUGACCGUGAUGGUCAAUAGAUCAAUCAUGAUUGUCAAUCUGACAAUCAAUUCAUCGUGGUCACAAUACUCUAGUUAUAAUAAGGCAUUUGAAGCUUUUCCUUUCUAUGAAUUAUUAGUGUAGAUUGGGUUAGUAUAAGUGAUGAGUUAGUAUCUAGUUACUCGUGUAAUUACAUGAUCUACUAUAAAAUCUAGUGUUGAGCCUUUACAUUGAGAAAAGUGUUAAGGAGAUGAUUGAGUCAAUCUACAUUGAUUCUCUUCGAGAAAGUGAGAUCUUAGGCACAUGCUAAAGACCCUUUUGAGAAUGACAAAGACGGUAUGUAAUAGAGAUUGAAGUUGGGGUGGUCAACUCUUCAAAGGCAUUGUAGGUACUUACCAAACAAGGUGGAUUAUGUAUGGUCAAUUUAGCCGAUGUGUCAUUUGGCCAAGUGGGUCAACAUAGACCAUGUAAAAUCCAACUUAGAGCCCACAUCUUGGGCUUGUGUCUUAUAUGGGCAGAGUCUGGGCCUAGAGACUGAUAUUCCGACUAGGUAUGAUGUUGGCAAUGACCAUCAAGGAAUAGUCAACAUCUUUGUCUCAUAUCUCUUUCACUUUAGGUCAGGGAUUGCAAUCAAUUGACGGAAACCAUAUGAAUUCAUUUGAAAAUCGUGCUAGCAAGAGGUACGUUUGACCUACUCUCCCAAUCAUUUUUUCUACAAUGCUAAUCCACCAAACUCUUACAAAAAAAGUAUUUAAUUGAAAAAUGGCAACAGAAGCAUACAAAUUCUUGAUGACAUGAAAUAAUUAAAAAUGUUAAGUCAAUUAUGGGUCACCAUCAAAGAUGUUUAGUGAGGUGGAGCAAUCUAUGAAUUAUGCUAAUGGGAAGCAAAAGCCCGAAGCCCACAUUUAGUAAUGUUAGGUUUCCCCAAAGUCACCAAAUACCCUUGUUACCGUCCUCCCAAGGCCAGUUUCCGGGGCUUUCCUCGGGCCCAUUCCAGGUUCGGGCUUUCAUAAAGCCCUGCCUAAUUGGCACCCUUCUACCUUACAGGUACAUGUUUGAAUCAUUGAUGGGUGGAAGUCCGGCUUCUAGAUAUCAUAACUCAUUGACCGAAGACCGAAGUAAGCCCAACCCAUCUUCUCUCUUCAAGAAUGAACCGAUUACUACAGUGAGAAGUAGAGAGAGAGAGAGAGAGAGAGAGAGAGAGAGAGNNNNNNNNNNNNNNNNNNNNNNNNNNNNNNNNNNNNNNNNNNNNNNNNNNNNNNNNNNNNNNNNNNNNNNNNNNNNNNNNNNNNNNNNNNNNNNNNNNNNNNNNNNNNNNNNNNNNNNNNNNNNNNNNNNNNNNNNNNNNNNNNNNNNNNNNNNNNNNNNNNNNNNNNNNNNNNNNNNNNNNNNNNNNNNNNNNNNNNNNNNNNNNNNNNNNNNNNNNNNNNNNNNNNNNNNNNNNNNNNNNNNNNNNNNNNNNNNNNNNNNNNNNNNNNNNNNNNNNNNNNNNNNNNNNNNNNNNNNNNNNNNNNNNNNNNNNNNNNNNNNNNNNNNNNNNNNNNNNNNNNNNNNNNNNNNNNNNNNNNNNNNNNNNNNNNNNNNNNNNNNNNNNNNNNNNNNNNNNNNNNNNNNNNNNNNNNNNNNNNNNNNNNNNNNNNNNNNNNNNNNNNNNNNNNNNNNNNNNNNNNNNNNNNNNNNNNNNNNNNNNNNNNNNNNNNNNNNNNNNNNNNNNNNNNNNNNNNNNNNNNNNNNNNNNNNNNNNNNNNNNNNNNNNNNNNNCCCUCCUCCUCUCUCUCUCUAUUUCUCUCUCUUCCUCUUCUGUCUCUCUCUCUCUUGGCAGCAGAAGCAGCAGCAGCUUCUUCAUACCCCCUUUUCCAUUUACCCUCCUCCAGGUUCAGCAGGGGGAGUCGACAGGAUGUGGGGAUCUGCCGCGGGGGCUAACCUCCAUGGGAGAGGUCGCCCUAACAGAUGGAAAGGCGGCGUCGCCACGAGGCUGCGGCCCCUCUUCGUCGCCGCCACCAUUCUCGCCAUCGGGGGCCUCCUCGUUGGAGCCUCGCCAGUGGAGUUCUUCUCCAUGGCCUCCCUCCCCCUCGGGUUCGAGCUCUCUGCACGCCACCGCAGAGUCGGCCUCUCCCAGAACGGCGUCUUCGCCUUCGGGUUCCUCGGUGAGCUCGACGGCGAUGGCGGCGGCGGCGAUGGCCUCCUGGUAGCGGUCUGGUACAACCUCAGCGGCGCCGCCGAGAAGGUUCCCGUCUGGGCCGCCGGCGGCGGGAUCCGGGUCUCCGGCGGCGCCACCAUCCGCCUCUCCACCGACGGCAGCCUCCUAGUCUUCGACGGCCGGCGGGAUGGCUUCGCCGUCUGGAGCAGCAACACGGCGAAUCUAGGCGUCAAGUCGGCCUCCCUCCUUGACGACGGGAACCUCGUCCUCUCCGGCGCCGGCGAGCAGUCCGCCGCUGCCGCCGUCUGGGAGAGCUUCGCCAGCCCCACGAAUACCCUCCUUCCGGGUCAGCCCCUCCGCUUCCCUCGGUCCCUCCGAGCUCUCCCCUCUGCCGGCGGCGCCGCCAGCUCCUACAGCUUGACUUUCACCCGCUUGGGGGAGAUCUCCCUCGUGUGGGAGGACAAUGUAACCUACUGGAGCAGCGGCGCCAUGAACGCGCCCGCCGCCAUGGUUGAAGCGAGGUUGCAGCCCGACGGCCUAUUCGGCCUAUUCGACGCCGGCGGCGGCGCCGUCUGGUUCAGGCUGAGCGUGGACUUCAAGGACCCGACGGUGCCGCUCCGCCACCUGAGGAUCGACCUCGACGGGAACCUGCGGAUCUACUCCUGGGCGGCGGCGGAAUCCUCGUGGAAGAUCAGCUGGCAGGCGGUGCAGAAUCAGUGUGACGUCUUCGGCUUCUGCGGGCUAUACAGCCUCUGCGGCUUCAACUCCUCCGGCCCGGCCUGCAAGUGCUUAGCGGCGGCACCGCCAAGCUCCGAAGGGUGCGGAAGGAUCGCCGAUCUGGGGAGCUGCGGCGGCGCCGCCGUCGCCAUGAGAGCCCUCGAGAACACCGUCCUCCACAGCCUGUACCCUCCUCGCGACGCGGAGGCCCUGAUGAGCUCCGAGGCCUGCCGGAGAUACUGCCUCAACGAUAGCUCCUGCUUUGCCGUCACCGUCAAGAACGACGGCUCCGGCCUCUGCACCAUCAAGCGGAGCAGCUUCAUCGCUGGCUACAGCUACUCAGCCGUCGCGGCGACCUCGUUCUUGAAGACCUGCCUGGUCCCUCAGGCGGUCUCCGGCACGACGGCGGCGGCGGCGGUGGCGGUGGCGUCCCAAGGAUUCCACGGCGGGGCCGUCGACUCUCGGCGGCACCGCCGGGAUUCCACGGCGGCGAUCGCGCUGGUCCUGCUGAUCACCGCCGGGGUGUUUCUGACGGCGGAGCUGCUCUUAUUCUGGUUCGUGGUUCGCCGGAGACGGCGGCGGUUCGACGCCGGAGACAUACGACGGCCGGUUACAGUGGCGGAGGAGUUGCAGGUGAAGAUGCUCCACGGCGAUCUGGUGAGGCUGUCGAUCGAAGAGGUGGAAAUUCUCACCGGAGGUUUCAGGGCGAAGAUCGGCCCGACGGUAUUCAAGGGUUUUCUCUCUCAUCGCGCCGCCGUAACGGCUAAGUUGCUCACCGGUGCAGUAAUAAGUGAGAGAGAGUUCCUGAACCAGGUGGUCGCCCUGAGCAGAGCCGGUGGCCACCGGAACCUCGUCGCCAUGAAGGGCUUCUGCUUCGAUUCCGAGAAGAAGAUCCUGCUGUACGAGUACGUGAGGGGGUGCUCCCUCGACCGGUGGCUGGCCCGGCGGCGAGUCGACCGUUGCGACGGCGGAUGGCGGCGGAGGAUGAACGUUGCGGUGGGGGUGGCGAGGGCCCUCCGCCACCUACAUCUAGGGUGCAAGACCUCCAUCGCCCACGGGAACUUGAAAGCGGCGAAUGUCCUCGUCGUCGACGGCGAUCUGGCGGCGAAGGUGGCCGACUACGGCCUGCAGAAACUCCGGCAGCCGGUGACGGAUUCCUCGCCGGAGAACUCGCCGGAGAGGGACAUAUUCAUGCUGGGGGUCAUCCUCCUCCAGCUAGUCUCCGGCAAGGGAGGAGCGGCGGUUGGGGAGCUGUACAGUUGGGCAUCCAGGGCUUGCCGAGAGGGGGAACUGGAAGGGUUCAUCGACGGGCGGUUGAAGGUCAGCGCCGAGGGCGGCGAUGGCGGAGAGGAGAGAGAAACGGUGGAGAGGGCGACGAGGCUGGCUCUGUGGUGCACGCAGGAGAGCCCCAAGCUCAGGCCUUCCAUCGCCGAGGUGGUCGCCGUGCUAGAGAGCUCUCUCUCUCUAGAACUCCCGCCGAGCCCGUGACGCCAUCGUCUUCUUCCUGGUGCCCAUCUGAGAGACAGCUCGAAGCUCGCUGGUGAGGGAUUUGAACAGCUUUUCCAUUGACAUGCUGAGAUGGGUGCUCCAGAAAACCCGGUCUCAGCAAGUCUGCAACUCGGGCUCUUCUUGCCGGUGCGAGGUGCAGGGAGACGUUGCAAGGUGAGCUCUCCCUCGUCUGAUGAGGAUUAAUACCUUGUGAGGCAAUAUAAUCUCCAAUAGAGGUUUUACCCCCAUCUUUCUAGUACAAAAAAGCCCACAUCUGAAAAAAUCUCUCUCUCUCUCUCUCUCUCUCUCUCUNNNNNNNNNNNNNNNNNNNNNNNNNNNNNNNNNNNNNNNNNNNNNNNNNNNNNNNNNNNNNNNNNNNNNNNNNNNNNNNNNNNNNNNNNNNNNNNNNNNNNNNNNNNNNNNNNNNNNNNNNNNNNNNNNNNNNNNNNNNNNNNNNNNNNNNNNNNNNNNNNNNNNNNNNNNNNNNNNNNNNNNNNNNNNNNNNNNNNNNNNNNNNNNNNNNNNNNNNNNNNNNNNNNNNNNNNNNNNNNNNNNNNNNNNNNNNNNNNNNNNNNNNNNNNNNNNNNNNNNNNNNNNNNNNNNNNNNNNNNNNNNNNNNNNNNNNNNNNNNNNNNNNNNNNNNNNNNNNNNNNNNNNNNNNNNNNNNNNNNNNNNNNNNNNNNNNNNNNNNNNNNNNNNNNNNNNNNNNNNNNNNNNNNNNNNNNNNNNNNNNNNNNNNNNNNNNNNNNNNNNNNNNNNNNNNNNNNNNNNNNNNNNNNNNNNNNNNNNNNNNNNNNNNNNNNNNNNNNNNNNNNNNNNNNNNNNNNNNNNNNNNNNNNNNNNNNNNNNNNNNNNNNNNNNNNNNNNNNNNNNNNNNNNNNNNNNNNNNNNNNNNNNNNNNNNNNNNNNNNNNNNNNNNNNNNNNNNNNNNNNNAGAGAGAGAGAGAGAGAGAGAGAGAGAGAGAGAGAGAGAGAGAGAGAACUUUUGGCCAGCGGAGGUUGCCCGGAGUUUAAACGAGGAUCAAACGGGCUGCUCCAAUGGCAACGAGCAGGGCCGAGAAGAAGAAGAAGGCGAACGCCAGGCAAUGCUCCGUGAAGAGCAUCCCUCCGUAAGAAUCCCCUGCUUCAUCAAUCAUGUAUAAUUUAGUUUGGAGAAGUUCUCUCCCUCUCUCUCUCUCUCUCUCUCUCUCUCUCCUUUAUGGGGAGAAGCCCGAAGCGUGGCAAGGCGGAAUCUGCAUUGAAGCCUUUGGGGCCCACCCACGGGGGAGGGGAUGCCACGUGUCGGAAAACAGAACCGUUUGUUUUCUUUUAUUCUUACCUAAAGAGCGUAACCCAUUUUCCAACCUCUGGAAAGGAGCCUUUCGCCGCCGGCGUAGGGAAAAUUACUGAUAAACCCCUAAUAAACUUCACCAUCACUCAGCAACCAAGUCCGGCAUCAGAUUCCCCCCAACCCCCUUUUUCAGAUUUCAUCCUUAUCCCCUUAAAUUAUUCUGGGGCUCCCCAGUAGAUUUAGACAAUUGAAACUAAUCGUAGGGAGUUAUUUGCAAAAAAAGAGCCCUCUGACUGGAUCCGGAAGAUCAAUGGGCCUGCUGCGUAACUCCCUCCUCGUCGUCGCCGUCGUCGUCAUCAUCAUCAUCAUCAUCAUCUCAACGUUUACAGGAAAAGUAGAAAACCAGAGCGAACUCUCCCGGCGACCUCGGCUUUCAGAAGACUCAGCGGCUAAGAAAACCCUAGAACAGCCUCUCAGAACACCCGGACCGGCUUCCCCAUGGUGCUCUUCAGGUACAGGCACCUGACCUGCUCCAUGCAGGCAAGAGGUUAGAGAGAGAAAGGGAACGAGUCAGAGGGAGAUUAGAGAGAGAGAGAGAAGGGGAAACAGGGCUUACGUUCUGCCAGUUCUUCUUGAGGAGGGAGACGAGGAAGUUGACGGAGAGCUGCACGUUCUGGAAGAUCUGCUUCUCCUCCAUCCCGCAGUUGCCCACGGCGACGCCCAUGCAGAGGACCUUCUUCAGCUGGAACUUCACCAUCGCCUUGGUCUCGUUGACCUUCGACUCCAGGGAUUCCUGGUGAGUCACCAAUGUCGGAAACUUCCCUGCGCGCACCACCCCCCCAAAACGGGAAAGGUCAACCUCACCCGAGAUAGUAAAGUCAACUGGGAAGGGCAGGGCGGAGGAGGGUGUGGGCUGACUCGCCUGCCUUGUUGAGCCCGGGGCCCAGAAGCCUGGGGAUCUGCUUGAUGAUGGCCUCGGAGGCGAGGAAGGCAUGGUACUUCUUGGCGAGCUUCUUCACCAGCUUCUUGUUCUUGUUCAUCUUCUUCAACCCCUCCACGUCCAUGUACUCCAACCCAAUCUUCUCCGCCUGCACAAGAACAAACCCAAGCCCUAACCCUAAUUCUUCCGGGGAUUUUUUUUUCCUUCUCUUUUAGGGUUCUUGGCAAAUUAUAGCCCACCAACCUCUUCGACGUGCUGGGCGUCUCCCAGCAUGCAGACCUUCAUCUUGGGGCGGGGGAUGUGGGGGAGCUUCACCGAGCCACUGAAGCGCUUGUCCUUCUGGGGGUCGUAGUUCUUCAGGCCGAUCUGCAGCUCGAUGGUUUCCAGGAACUUCCUCUUCUUCUCUCUGGAAUCGGUGGUGACCUGGGUGAUGGCUUCCCUCAGCACAUCACUCUGCAGCUUGCUGCAGAUCGAACAGAUCGCAAAACAUAAAUUAAUUAAGCUAAAAACAAGAUCAUAGUAAAAAUUACAUCUAUCAAGAGUAUCUGAGCUAGCUGUUAAGAUGGCAUGAACGCGGCGAUUUGUUGGAUGUGAUCGGGAGAGAACAACAAGAACACAUGAUGGAUGGGGAGACCAGGAUCAAGAAUCGAAAAAAUAAAAAAAGUAUUUGAAGUGAAUUUCGAGUCAAUACCACAUCAAUGCAACCAUAAAUAUUUAUCGUUGGCAUCAUCGUUACUGGAAGUAUAUCCCUAGAAAACUAAAUAGCAUAGAAAACUACCAGCUUCAUUUGAGAAAUUCCGGAAUAGGGUAUAGAAUAUCAGGUUGGGAACCAGAUCCGACUCCUCUCAAUAUUAAAAUGAAAAUCAAAUCCCAUAAUUAGGCUUAGAACAAAAAUAGGAUUGCAAAAUUCAUAUAUGAAAUGGCGCAACAUAAACCCAGAUCUGGGAACAGGCGAAUUGGGGCAGAAUCUCAAAAACAUAAAGCGGUUCAAUCAUAUUUAUUCAGCUGGCCGAUCAUGACUGACCCCGUCUUGAACAAUAAGAGGCCUAUUUGCAAGCCAUGUUGGCGAAAAUAGGUCAAACGUAAAGGACUACUGGUUAGCAUGCACAUAUCGCCAAGCUCGACCUAAUUCCAAACAUACAGGCUUGUAGAAGAGAGUAUCUAUGAACAUCUAAUGUACAAAAUGCCUACAUAUGAACGGAAAAUUGAGAUAGUAGAAAAAUUAAUGGAAAACGAAGAUAAGUACGGUGCCAUGAAAUAUAGAAUGGACACAAACAAGAGGACUUGUCUUUAAAAAAAUAAAUUAUAAAAAUACGGCUUCAUUUUCAAUAGCUUUUCAAGCACAUAAUUCACAUCAAAAUUGAAGAUUAUCGUCAACAGGGUUUAGUGCUGGCUCGAGUACUCUAUUAUUUCUCCUUCCGUAUUCUCUGCAGGGCUAGGGUUUACUCCACUCAAUAUCCGUCAUCAGAAGUUAGACUAAUCGUGCAAGCAUAUGUUGAUUGACCAAGAUCAAUCAAGAAGGACGUGCCUUUUCUAUCACUUUCAACCUUAAACAUAUACCCUCCUAUAAUAGAAACGUACCAGGGCUCAGUUUGGCAUACCAUGCACACCUCAGUCUUAAUAUAUGCAAAAAUGGAAGAAGAAUCCAUAUAAGCAUACUAUUUGGGCGACAAAAAAAUGCAUACGGUGAUCCAGUUGCCAGAGAAGUCAAUCUAUUACUUUAAAGUUCAAAGAUAUCAUGAAGCCUUGCAAGUGAAGAUCAACACGCCAAAACCCAAGGUUAGUUCUUGUAUGAUGCAUUGUAACAAAUGGAGUCUGUGUGACACAUAAGAAAACAGUGAUGCGUAAGCUAACGAACAGUAAACUAGUUUGACUGGUUUUCGUCAUUUACGAAAUCAAUUCACUUCCGAUAAGAUAGGCAGUGGUUCGAGAGUCAUUUCCACGAUCAGUUCUCAUCAAUGAAUCAAGAAAAAAUGAAGUUGAAACUAACUCCCCCCUCGAGAACUCACAUUCCCACGACUCCAUCAUUAAGAGACAAUAAAUAGAGAGAUUAUGAUCACGCGAUCUAAUAGAAAAUGAAAAGGCAUUGUCGUUGUAUUUUCCAGGCCACAGAGAAAAAGCAUAAAAUGCCACAUCAACGUCUCCUACCUCAUGGCUGCAGCCCUUCAGCGACCUGCCGUGACCUCUCGUUACCUUCAACACAGAACAAUCUAGGCGUCAGCAAAAGCAGGAAAUCUUUCAAAUGGAACGAACACAAUCCAGACGCUGCCAGACAGACAGGUCAACAGAAUUACGAAGAAAUGCAAAUGAAAAUCGAACCAAAAACAUCUGCUAAAGUUCAUCCAUGACACCCUAUGCUGCUUAGCGAGAGAGCGAGCGAGACAGGGGGAGAGAGAGAGAGAGAGAGCUCACCGGAGGAGAGCCAAACUCCGGGACUCGCAGGCGGCGUCUCCCAAAAAAACCCUAGAUCAACUCGCUCGCUCCCCGCCACUCCGCCCAUAACCAAGUCCUCGGUAGAUCUGGAUCGUUCAUUUUCCAUGAUGCCAUUUUCCCGGGAUGUCACGAAAAUCGAAGUUAAUGGGCCCAUUUACGAUUUGGGCAUUAAAAGGCAACUGCUCCCAGAUAAAUUCGGCCGAGUGUUCCAGAAUCAGGCCCAGAUAAGGACCUAACGGGGCUUAUUUUGAAAGAAGAAAAAUGCCUCAUUCUUCACCUCCUUUUGGGGAAAAAAUUAGACAAAAAUAUUCAGUUUUGUAAAUAUAAAGUAUUAAAAAUUUAAUAAACGGAUGAAUAAACAAUGGAAAUAACAUGUUUCUUGUCUAUGACCAAGGACCUUAUUCAAGGGUUGAAAUCAUGCCCAAGAAAAAAACCCAUCAAGGUUCAAUAUUUUUUGUAAGGCUAGACUUACCAUAGGUUAUAUGUAUCUAUUAGACAUACUUUUUCCAGAUAGUAAGGAUGCAGACACACUUAAGGGUGGUGCAACACUAAGCCUAACCCUUUCUUAAGAGAUAAGUCAUCUUGGUACUAUUAUGACCCGAGUCUAUUUAGCUCCAAAAUUUUUACAAGAUCUAGUGGUAACAUACUCAUUAAAAGGGUUCUAUAUAAACCCAUUACUUUGAACUAUUUCUUUUUUUAAGGUUCGAUUAUGAGUCUCAAAAAUAAUACAUUUUAUCAUCUUUUUUUUCUCAUGAAAAACUUUUUCAAGAUUGAUAGGGCCUAACCUAACUAGGCCUUGUGUUGAAAUCGACAGCUCAAAGCUCCUCGCACCCACCCCACAUCACCAUUCAAAAUGGUGAGAAGGAAAUUAUUACUCAGCUGAUCUAUGUUGAGAAAAGACCAAAAAACUACAUUUGUUGUAAGAAAUUAGGCCACUUCAUGGGUGAAUGCAACAACCUCAAUUGCCCUCAACAGCUCAUUAUCAAAGAGUGGGUCGUCAAAUCCUUCCACACACAACCCCCCUAGCCAAGGGUUCACCUCCCCCCAUUCAGCAAACUAACUAUCACCCAUAAUGAUAUUAUCAAAAAGCUCAUCCUAGGUAAAAGAGAUAACUAAUCAUUAACCAAAAUGACCCACAAAUAGGCCCAAAUCACGGCCCCACCCCCUAUGUAACCCUUACUACUAUGAGAACAAAUCUCUCUACUAGGCUCCCAUCUAGUCCCUCUCUCCUCAUGGCCCCUCUCCCUAGUCACCUCCCACAACACACACCUAUGUGUUCCACUCAAAUCCCACUCAAUAUUACCACUUCUCCCCCAUCAUUGUCGACAAUAUUUAGUAUUGAUGAAAUCAAAAAAGUUAUACUAUCAUUAGCCCAAUUAACAUUUACUACCCCCACCCAACACCCCAAGCUAACUCAACAAAUAAAACCAAGCACCCUUCCCCCCACCCAAAAAAUCCUUAGAAAAGAACCUUACCAACCUCCCUACAACUUGAGGCUGCACAACAUCAUAUAGACAAUAUGCUUCACCCCCAAGAAAUUGAGACCUAAUGAUCAAGAACAAAGACUUCCUAUCUGACAAAGAUUGAGAUGAUUAAUUUAAUUAUCUAAAAUUGUAGAAGUAUAUGAAGCACUAAUACCAAUAAACAACUUUUCUCUUUUAUACCCUAACAUCAAAUUCAUAUAAUUGCCCUUAUUGACCUCCUACUAAAUCCCACAAAGUUAAGUUCAUCCAAUAAUCCUUAGGAAUGUCUUACAUAUGGCAUAACCUCUUUAACAAAAAUGUGAUUCCUGACCAAAUCAACUUAAAUAUAUCACAUGUCCAUAACAUAAACUAAGCAUCAACCUUUAUAUUCAAUAACUAUAAAGUUUUUAUAGUUAUUGAAUAUAAAAGUUUGUCCUUAUUUAAGGGACAUUAUGAUGUGAAAGAAAAAGUGAGAAAAUGUGAAGAGUUCUAGUUGUUGCUCUCUCCCCUCCAUCCUUUAGGACACAGGUAUCAUCUCCAUCUCAUGUAUCUCUUCAUAGAUUUACCUUGUAUAAGCUUAUAUAUCUAUAUAUGAAUGUAGGAGGCAUUUAGCCUCUACAUCAAUCACUCACCCUCCUUUCAAAAUAUCUUUUUACUUUGUCAUUAUUUCUAAUAUGGUAUCAUAAUAGGUUUAAUAUUUUUUACCUCUAUUAUCGCCGUUGUCUCCACCAUUACCUUUAGGGUUUCAUUGAAACCCUAAGGUUCCACCCUUUAUUCAUAUAAGCAAUCUAGUGUCAUUUGUUCUAAGCUACCUAAGGUUUCAUCAUUUAUUCAUGUAGCAUAUCUAGUGUCAUAUGUCUUAAACUAUCUAAAGUUUUCUCUAGUUUGAAGGUUUGCAUUCAGUGAGACCAUGAAGAGAAGCCCAAGCCUACAAUUGAAGAAUGUUAAAGUAACAUCAAAUGAGUGAGUCAAAGAGUUACUAUGGGCCAUCUUUAGUCUAGUGCCACUAGUCCCUGACCACUUAAGAUUUCAUCUUAGUUUGGCAUCACCUUCAUACAAUCCUCACCAAUAGUUUAAGAGCCAUCAUCAUAUAAUCAUCUAUGGUUUUAACAAGCCUAAUUCAAACAAUCUCGCACCACCUAAGAUAUGUGCGAAAAGAUCUUACAAUAGCUAAAGCAAUAGGAUAACAAUGUAGUAACAAAAAGUGUUAAGAUUAAGGAACUCAUUAUGUUGUAUGAAAAGUACCUAACAAUAUGCCAUGUUACUCUAAGAGUUAAAUAAGCUUAGGAGGUGCUCAAAGGCACAAUGUGACAUUAGCGUAAUAAAGGAGUAAGGAGCUAAAGAGCUCAUAAAAGGGGGAAUGUUGUCAACACUAUUAAUCAUAUUUCAUCUAGAGACUCAUCAAAACCUUAAGCCUUUGUCCUAAGUUCUUACUACCUCCUCUUGACAUCUAAGCUCCCUACAUCAAAGGUUUACAUGUGUUGAGACCACGAGCACAAGAGCCUUAUUAUUUAGGAGAGUGUCAACAAAGCUACUAUAGUUGUCAUUGUUUAGUGUUACUAUCAAAGUUAGAGGAGAUAUUGUCACCAUCUUAAGGUUUGCUCCUUAUUCUUUAUAGCCUUGUCUGAUGUCUAUGUCUUUAUGUAUUCAAAAACUUAUCAUAAUGACUAUUUAAUUAAAAUCUAAAUUAGGGUUUCUGGUGCUAAGGUUUUGAAUCUUUAGUCAUCCAUAUAAGGCAUGUGACAUACUUAUUAUUAGAGAUCUUUCGAUGGUAUUAGGAUUUCUCAUUCUUUAUUAUUAAUAGUAAAAAGUUAGUAAGAAUGUGGUCAAAAUUAUUCAAGUGACCUUGAGCUAAAAGUUUUAAGGCUCAAGAUAGUAAUACAAUGAAAAGCUUUCAAAGUACUUGUUGGAGGACACAAAAGAGACUUAUCUUUGACGACGUAACUUCAUAUGUUAAGGUCAACAAAGGGGUUAGCCUUAGAACUUAACAUUUGCUUCAAGUCACUAUACCAAGAACCAAAUUGACCUCUACUCAAAUCUAGAGCACUCAAUAGGUACUAUAUAAAUCCAUAGUCUUCUUUUCAAGACUAUUCAGGUAUAGAGUCAAUGAACUCUCACUAGUAGUGAUAGAAGGAGGAUUCAUAAAAGUUAUAAGAACAAAAGUGUGUUAGACGUUCAAAGAGGUAAAAAAAGCAUCAGAAUGACUAAAGGCUAUUAUAUUUAUAUACUGAAGAAUAGAAGAAAAGAAUAAUUAUAGAAGAUCUAGCAAAAAUCUAGAUGGGCAUGGCAAAGGCUCUAACCAACAACGAGAAGAUAAAUUUUGGAGGUUUCUUACUCCAUCUUCCACCUUAAGAUAUAUCUACUAAGGUUUGAGAGUAAGCCAAAGUAGCACAUGACAAUCCAAAAUAUUGUUUAAAAACUAUCUUUAUGAAUAAGGGAGAGUUCACCAUGAGAGGUAAAGAAAGAGAUAAUUAUGAUAGUUACAAGAGUCAAAGAACUUGAGAUGAAGGACACAACAAGUGUCAAGAUAGAGCCAAGAAUAUUAAGAGGCUUAAGAUCAAAUGAGAUAGAGUAUAAGAGAGGGUUAUACUACAAAAGUUACAUGCAAUUGAAUCCUAUAGAAUCAAUAAUAAAAAUUGAAGAGUCAAGAGCCACAAUAGGGCUUCAUGUGGUCAAAGAGCUUAUUAGCAAAUGCAAGAGACACACAACAUCAAGUCUUGCUAUACUUAAGCAAUAUAAGUGUUAGCUCUAAAGCUAAACCUUGUACGUUGUCAUCAGACUUAGAAGUCCAUCCACCUUUUUAUCUUCAUGUAAGAAGAGAGUCAAAAAGUUUUUGAGAGGAGAAAUGAAAAGAAAAUAUCAACAAAAAAGGUAACGACACCAACUCAAACAUUAGAGGCAAGAUGGAGAUAAGAAAAACCUUAGAUGAAGUAAAAAGAGUUUGUAAAUAAGAUUAGGAAGAACAAAAGAUUAUAAGAGAUAACAUCCACUAAUAUAUUGUAUGUUCUAAUGAAUAUACCUUGAGAGACACAUAAGAGCUCAUUUAAUGAAGCAAAAUUCUAUGACUUGAGCUAGAGGAGUAAUAAUCAAAAUGUAAAGAGCAUGAGGUAAAGAGUUAACAGACACAACAUAUGUUGUAAGAGUUGAAGAGUCAAUAGCUAUGACAACUACAACAAGAGUUAAGUCAUGAUAUGAGAUAUGGUUGAAGCUAUAGGAGUAGUAGGUAAAGUGUAAGAAAAAAUUUUAAAAAUAUGUUUAUACAAAUGCGCAUCAAGACCCAAAAAAGUUAGUCAAAAUGUAAUAUUUGAAGAAGCAUAAGAAGAUUGUAUGAGCAUUAUAAUGAAUAUCUUAAAGUUAAAAUAAACUUCAAGAGAAGUUUGAGGGGGCAGUGUUAAGAAAUAGAAAGGUAUUUUGGUAAUUAUUAUACUAUUUUUUGUUCAUAUUUAAGAAAUAUUAUGAUGUGAGACAAAAAUUGAGAAAGUGUGAGUAAUUUAAACGACAACUCUUUCUCAUCUAUCCUCUAACAAGGUUUUAUCUCCAACUCAUAUAUCUCCCUAGAUUUACCAUGCAUAGGUUUAGGUGUCUAUCUAUGAAUGUAGAAGACAUUUAGUCUUUUAAUCUAUCAUUCAUCCUCUUUUCACAAUAUCUUAUUUUACUUCGUCAUUAUUUCCAACAACAACAAUAAGAAAAUCUCUACUACACUAUUAUUUAUGUAUCAUACAAAUCAGAAGUUUAUACAUCUUUCUAAUCAUACCUCCUCAAAAUAAUAUUUGGCACCACUCAAUCCUAACUCAUUAGAGGGGAUUUCAACAUUAUUAAAAAUUGUUAUUAAAAAGUCAAAGCCACAAUCAUCUACCUUUCUAUGAUGAAAGAUUUCAAUUCACGAUCAUCCAAGUUGAACUAGAAAAACCAUGUCACCUUGAAAAUUGCCAAACAUAGAAAAUAGUUGCAAUGAUCUAAGCAUAAUAUAACAAAGACUAGACAUUUGUCUCACUAAUUCUUUAAACUAGCACGAUUUCUAUACUUCAAUGAAAUAUCACCACAAUUCCUUCUUUGAUCAUGUUAUUAUCAUAGUCAAAGAGAGUAAUAUCGGUAAAACAUGACCUUCUUUAUUCAUCUUUAAAUCUAUGUGAUUGAGACACUUAGAUUUCCUCUUCUAAUUCCAAACUAGUUGGGGGGACAAAUAACUCUAAACUUAAAAACCUCAAAGGUCAACUCAAGUGAUAAAAUCAAAACAUGUUUAGCGACAUAAAUAUGAAAACAAACCAACUAGUAACCUAAACCCAACAUCUAGAAGAGUCUUUCAACAAACAAUGAUAUGAAUUUAUGGCUCUCACCCUAGAUAACCUCAAAUUAGAACUAAGAGAAGUAUUAUCAAUGACCUCUCCAAUAAUUUUUAAAGUUUUUGUAGAGUACCACAUUAGUUCAUUAAAAGCCUUUUAGGGGUUUCAAACCUAUUUAAGUAUCAUAUGAGACUUCUACUAUCAAAUGAUGAAAACUUACAUUACAUAAUAUGGGGCAAUGUAUUAUUAACUAAUAACAUAAGAUUGAUGCUUUCUUUUUAAUUAAACAGUUAUAUUCAUUACCUAUUUCGGAUUAAGUAUGAAAAGACUUAACAAUGAAUUUUGUUGAAAACUCACCCACAUCAAGCAACAAAUAAAGUUCAUAUUAAUAGUAGUUAAUUAUGUCACCAUAUAUAUAAACUUCAUCAACUAUCAUUACCUUUUGUCAAUUACAUAAAUGAUUUGAUUAUAUUUGAUUAUUUAUCAUCUUUAAUCAAGAUUGAGUAUUCCUUCAUAUCUUUUGAUAGGUCCACAAAUUGUAAGAGAUUAAACUCAAGCAUAACACUUCCUUCAUCUUUCAAAUGAUGGACAACAAGAGUGAGUCAAUCAUUGCCUUCAAUAAAUCAAUUGACUGAAGGAUCCAUAAGAAUAAAAAAUAGUUUUUCAAUUCUUGAUCUUGAAAUGGCAACUAUUCUAUUUACCUAUCAUAAAUGGAUUCUUUUCUAAUUAGCCUAGUGUAUGAUGGCAAUUGUUACCUUGGGUAGAACUUUAAUAUAACUAAGGUACUAUGAUCAUGAUCAAUCAUCGAUCCAAUCAAAAUGAUUAAUGAUUUAAUCAGCCAAAAUCAUUAAUUAUGAUUGUUGAUCAUCAUGAUAGAUGAUCUAAUCAAUCAUGAUCGGGUGAUUAUUAUUUAAUAUAAUUAUAUUAUAGUGGUAUGUUGAUUUGGUGAUCUAGUGAUCAUUGUCAUUUAAUAUGAUUAUAUUAUACAUGUGAUCUAGUGCUUAAUUGUUAUAUAUAAAUAUAAUAUAUAUAUAUAUUAAAUAUAUAGUUAUGUAUUGAGCUUAAGUUUUAGUUUUAUUAAGACAUAUUAUGCCUCAUAACUAUAUUAGGAUAUAUAUAAAUUAAGCUUCCUAACAAUACAUAUACAUGAAACAUAUAUUAAGAUUAAUAUAUAUAUGUAUAUUGAGAUUAAAUGAACUAUCUUUCCAACCUACAUGAAACAUAUUUUUGGAUGUGUUUAUUAACUUUGUUAAUGAGAGAGAGGGAGAGAGAGAAGGGGAGAGAGAGAGGGAGGGAGAGUUGACGCCAAUGAGGUUGGCAACAACUCAAUUAGUUUCAGAGAAGCCAUAAUGAGAGAGAGAGAGAAAGAAAGAGAGAGAAAGAGAGGUAGCAGUGAAGCUUACGAUGAUGGUGAAGUUAAUCUCUUUGACAAGAAGAAGAUGGAGGUGAUGGGAAGAGAGAUAUUUAAUCUCCCUCUCAUCAAUUUGAACUUUAACUAUUAAAUUUAAUCUAAACUGUAGCCAUCAAUCCACCGAUCAAUUGAUGAUCAAUCAAAGACCAGAUUAUGAUCACAAUCAUAGUCAUUUUCCAUGAUUGUGGUCAUCAAUUGAUCGAUCAUGAACAUCAAUCUAACAAUUGAUCAAUCACAAUUGUAGUACCCCAAGUAUAACACUACUUUUUACUACUGUGUACAAAUGAGCCCUUUUUCUACUUUAUAUAUUGGGGCCCCACCACUCAUCAUCUAAAUAAGACCUCAAUCAUAUCCACUUAGAGAGAUGACUGAGCAAUUGGAGGAGCAUGACAACAUGUUAGACCUCUUGGAGUGCCUCACCCAAACAUAAGCAUGAAUGAAAAGUAAGUUGUGGGAAAGCAAUAAGAGUUAGAGUUUACAAUGGGAAACCAAAUUAAUAUUAGACAAGCCAUAUUGUAUGAACUCAACAUGUUGUCAAAACGAUAAGUUUGUACCCAAGGUUCUUUGGGGCCACACUUUGUCUUCAAAUGUGUGAGUGACUCCCUACCAAGGGUGAUGAGAGAGAGAGAGAGAGAGAGAUGAAGGGAGAGGGCAUUCCUCCAUGGUUCAAGUGAACAGCAGCCACAGUCAAAAGUGUGAAAUAUCGAUGUAACGGAAGGAGAGUGGCCCGACUACAAGAGCAAUCCACCAGGGAGUGUCAUCUCAUUCACCUUUCGUAGUCUCAUUCUUGUAACCUCUUCCAAAAAUGGGGAAUGCCUCGAUCGUGGGAGCCCUUUCCCUGUCGACCAACCAGCUUUUCAUCCAAGAUUUUCCUCAAGAAUGCAUCAUAAGAAAGAGGAAUCAGAAUGGGUUCCCAGAACGAAGUAACCAAAUACUACCCGUGUGUGCAUUUCAUACUUCCUGAAUAAAUUUGCAAGCGAAAAAAUGAGAAAUCAGAGAUUACAGAAUGAAUUCCACAGAGAUUCACAGUUUAAAGGCUCCAAAGGAUGGGAAUUUAUCCACCUCGUGCUUGGGUAGAGAUGCCACAUUUGAUCUCUUUAUAAGCGCAGAAGAGGCUCAAGUAAAAAUAUACAGGAAGAGAGAGAAUUGCCAUGUACAUGACUCCUGCAAUAUACAUGAAUGGCGGUGGCUCCCCUCUGCGGAGCAGAAACAAGAGAGAGAAGAGACCAGACAGAUUUAGUUCUAAUGACAAUUCAUAAGAGAAGACCUUACUCACCAAUGGAAGAAGGCUUAUGAUUCUCCAUGAUCUCACACCUAAUAGACGACUGAUUCCAUCUCUCCUCACCUAAAGAUCGCAGCUUGCACCCACAGAAAGGGGUGUCAGAUGAACCACAUCAUGAACUCGAUGAGAUGGAUCUUGAUGAACCCGAUUCACCGAGAGAGACGGAGGUCAGAGAUGACGCCCAUGCUCUGGCGUUGCAUGCUCCUUUCUGAAAAUUCCUCUUCUUGCUGAUUGUGAGCUUGCUCCACAGUCUUUUCAAGUCAACCGCAUGAAGAGCCCGCUUAAGAAGGUGGCUCCACCCCCCGAAGAUUGCCGCCCAGUUGGCAUGCCAGACAUAGGAGAGCCACAGAGCCUUCAACUGGGACCAGAUCUCGGGAGAAACGUAUGCGAAUGCUUUGAAGAAGAGGAAGAGCACUGACAGUGCGAGGUAGGGCUCCUGCCUCAGAAUCUCCUUCGCUGUUCUGUUCUCUGCCCGGAUGUGAACCCUCUUCACCAUGUCAAAAGGUUGGUCACCAGGGAAAUACGCAACUGGCUUAAGACCUGAAACAGGAGAGGCCAAGGAAGCCAUCGUGGUGAUCAAGCAAAUCCAAGAGUAUUAUUACAUGUAUCCUUUUUUUAACUUAAAAUGGUUCAUGGAAUGAAACAUUGAACCAUGAUGUAAAUACAGACCAAGGGGAAGGGGAUGAUAGAAAAUCAUACGAGAAUAAUGAUUAGGAAACCAUCCAUGUCAAGGAAAUACCUGUGGUUUUCAUGUAGAAAAGUAAAAGGGAGAUAAGAUCCUUUGACCCGCGAUAUCUCACCCUCAUCGUACCAUUCAUUAUCAAUAUAGACGGAAAGCUGUGGACUCCGUACCUGGAGAACACACUGAAGCAUUGGCAGAAGAAAUGGUCAGCCACGGUUGACUGAUAAUUACAUAGGUAAAUGCUAUAAACGUUGCUGUCCCGAGGAGUACCUUGGCAGGGCAGAAGAUUCUUCAACGGCAAAAUGUUGUAUCCCAGGAAACAAGACAUUGAGAGCAUCAAAGAGCUGCCGAGUUGUCUGAGAGAAUGGACAACAGGAAGCAUAGAAAAGUACAGAGUAAUAAGCAUUCCUCCGGCGAUGGCCCAGCUCUUUGUCCAGGGUCUCACCAGACACCUACCAAUGUUAAACGAAAAUAGUGAAAGGGUGAUGGGGUUAUUAUUUAAAUAGAACUGACCAACAAAAGAAGGAAACAUACAGAAUAAAGGCCACGAAAUCUUUUCUUUCAGUCUCAAACGAAACCAAAGAUGUCAUCAUAUAAAACUUGUUUGAACAAGCAACAGAAAUGGCGAGGCCAAUUUAUUCAUGCGGUCAGACCAUUUGAUCCAUCGAGAUCUUAGUUCACUCUAGCAACGAUCCAAUAGUCUGGAAUUAGCUGAUUUAAGAUUGCGAAUCCAGGGGCAUAGAUGUUAAGAUAUAAACAGCACGGCCACAGAUUUAUAUGACUGGUCAAAAAGAGUUUUGAGGUUCAUCCACAAUGAAAAAAAAAGCUUGAUUCUUACUUAAUGAGGAUAUAAAGGGGAAUUAGUCAAAUUUACCCCUCACAGAGACUUUUCAGACUUGCUAAUGUCACAAGUUUUACAUCAAUGAAAAUGUAAAACACUUGAUCCCAGAUGGCAAGACUAUGCAGUAUAUGACUGUUCUUCUUUGGGUUUGUCUUUUCCUUCAACGGUGAAAAUUUUAAUGCGGAAAAUUCGCCAUUAGAGAACUACCCAUAUUCAAUUGGAAUGCUCAUUUAGUGCGAUUCGACUACCCCCAGCAGCAUAUUGAGAAGGUUACGAGAGAAUUCGUAUCUCAGAUGCUCAUUUUAAUUUAAUUAGAGAUAUGGUAAAUGUUCCUACAUCAAGUGGGCAUAUAAUGGCAGAACCCUGGGGUAAUGCAAUCAUGGAGAGGUGGCAUCAAGAGUAGAUACUUUUGGCUCAUUAUGAAUGAACAGUUCAGUCAAAAAGUUGGAAAGAUUUGAAUUGUUCUUCUAAAUGCUAUUGCAAGAGUUAUUCGGAAUCAAUAGAACCCAGAAAGCUAUGGUUAUCAAAGCUUUUCUAUAGAGAGGGAUGCCGUUUCUUUUGAAUGUUGCGUGGGGCAGAAAUUGAAUCUUUUUUCCUUGAUCUUGAGCGAGAGAAUAUUGAAUAGAGCAUCUCCUUUAGGAGAUCAUUGAUCAUAAACUAGUAUAUGCUCUCUUUCUAUGUUUAGCACAUAUGUGGCACUAUCCACUUUCAAAAGAAAAAAUUAAAAACCCAUGCGACCAGAACCCAAAGGUUCCGAUUCAAAUAAUAGACACAGCCAUCAAAGGUCGGAAUUCCUACACUGUCACUAUCAAGCCCAAAAGGCAAAACCAAAUGUCAGCACAAGAAAGCAGCCUGGUUCUCUUUGAUAUUUUUCACACACACAAUAUAAUCGUUCAUAAACAUUUAGGGAGGAAACGGGAGCUUUGCAAUGCUCAAAUUUUUCGAACUUUUUUCAUGUUAUAUGCCCAACUGCAUAAAGCGUGCCAUUAAUAUGAUGAAGGCACUUUGUGACAGUCUUCCAGAUGUUUGUAAGAUUAUGAACACCACGAGUAAAGUAUAGGAAAUUGAUAGAAAAGGAUGAGGUAUCAACAAAUGAUACAUUUGGAGGAUAAUUUUCUAAUAGAAAAUGGCAAAAGAAGUUGUCAAUAUUUUCCAGAAUAUGGUAGUUGAUGGGUAAAGCCAAAUAGACCACAAGAAUUAUACCUUUGUCACAUCUCAAGAUAACUAAGCCUUCAAAAUGUGGUAACAAUUCACAUUCGUUCCCAAUUGUGUAAACAAUCUAUUUGAGAUUUCUUAUGAUCGUAAAAAGGACAUGAAAGAUCUUUAUCUUGCAGAAAAAUUUAGGGCGACAGUUGGCUUCUUUCCGUGCUGGCUAAAUUUCAGAAACAACACAAACUACUUCUUCUAUCAAGGAAGGUAUCAUUAUUAGACCCAGAAUCAAGGUACCAUUAUAUCUGGAGUAUCUUCGUGAAGAAAUAUCACUAAAUGAAGCACACACCCUUUAAGCAAUAUCUCACAAUAAUCAAAAGUCAAAUUCCCAUUAAGAAAUAUAGAGAAGGAGCCAUUAGAAAUGAUCAUUAGGAUUUUUUUCUAACCAAAAGGUUAAUGAGAACCUACUCACGUAAGAUAGUUGAAAAAUCAUAGGAAUAUUUCAAUAAGUUUAAAAUAUCUUUGACUGAGAAUCAAAAGCAUAAACACAUCAUACCUUGAAAGUUGGAGUUUCUAUAAAAUAGGACUGUUUUAUUAACCUUCCCUACGCCUAAAACCAUUUUAAGUGGGGAAAGCAUGAGAAUCACGGACAGCUGGCAGCAAUGGAUGUUUGAAAGGGGUAAAAAGCCUUUUUCCAAUUUAUUUUUCUCAACUUUUAUAUUGUUUCAACAGUAGCUACCUAUUCCCCUCCACAUUCUGGUUACCGGCAGCUAUUCCUUCGACCAAAGGAGGAAAUGCAAGGGUCCUUAAGAAGGCCUCAGCCGACACACAAUCAGUUCCCACAUUUUUUUCUCGCUAAUAACAUCAUCUUCUAUCCUGUUCUCUGGCCUUCGACCUUCGAUUUGAAGAGGGUAUCCUGAUCCACAAUUAUUUCAACACUGAUGAAGCUCCAGAUUCCCCACCAAUCCAGCAGGAAAGGACCACAAUUAAGCUGAGAGAUUCACCAGCUCAAAGGGCGGUUUAAGCUUCUAGAAGACAAGUUUCUCAGACGGGUCAAAGUCUUCCGUUGAAUAGUAGCAGCCACCGACAUGUAGUUGGUCAGGACUGGGGGCUGGCCGGGGGAGGCGAAUCCGACCAACAAAGGAGAACCCAAGAAACCAGAGAAAAAUGACACCGGAAGCUCACUAUCGUUGACUUCUCCAGAACUUGACAGAAAAGUAACAGCAGAACAAUGCGAUUAAUUGACUUCUCGAGGAUCAGAAAUAUGCCAUCAAGCUCCACAGAGGGAACAUUCGCUUUAAUGGUCAGAAGGGUCUAUUUUCUUGGGGUAGAGCCGUCAGAAACGCCGUGGCGACAUCCCUGUAACAGCACUACUACCAGAGAUCCCAAAAUCACAAAAAAAAAAUCAAAAAAAGGGGAAUGUGCAGAGGAAGGUGAAAUUGGAACCAUGGAGAGCAGACGCCACGAAUAGCAGCGGAAUGAAUCGAGCACCCAGAUGCAGGAAACACCGAACCACAGAAGGGAGAAGAUGGGCAAAAAACUAGGAAGAGAUGGCUGAUUUUCCGCAAAACCCUCGAAAGCCAAAGUAAACAGGCAAUGAAAUCCACGGAGAUGGCAGAUAGUCAGUACCUCGAGGACAGGAGACCGCUCGAUCCAGGAAGGGCAUUGCGAUCGAACUGUGGACUCGAGCAUGGCGAGUUUAUCAACCCUUGGACAGAGAGAAGAUGCGUAGCAGAACCGCCCGAGCGAUAAGACGCAGAAGAUCGAGAAGAACAACAACAGGAGAUGGGGCAGCGAUACCGCCAUAGAUGCCGGGAAGAGGAAAAAAAUAGAAAAAUAGAGGAUAAUAUAGAGGAUGACAAGGGCGGACGGGGCGUUUCUUCGUGGGUCACUCCGAGCUCUCCUCCCGGAUCGCUAUCACCCCUCCCUCCCCACCUUUUCCUCUGAAUCAGACCCUGCUCUUCCCGCCGGCCCACUCGUCUUCAAUCUCUCCGAUUCGAUGGUCCGCUGGUUCGCCGCCGCUCGCAAAAGCCCUCCUACCUCUGGGCUCCUCUCUUCCUUGAAUAUCUUCGACCGGCAGCAAUUACCCAAUCAUCUCCACCUACCGUAGAAAGCACCGGAAGAGAUGGGCACGCGAGAGGACAGGAGUGUGGAAUGAUCGGCGUCUAGAGGAGGUGGGUGGCGGAGGGAGGAAGAAGGUCGGGGUGGACAACUUCCCGAUUUACAGGAGGCCGGAGACCACGCUGAGAGAAAGGGGACGACGACCCGAAUGACCUAAAUGCCCGUAUGAAAUUUCCUAAAAAGCCCUUUAUAAAUUAUAAAAUUUCUAAAAACCCCCGUCAUUGUACGAGACCUUGAGAGAUGCAGAUGUUUAAACAGAUUUCAUAACACAAAAAAAGCAUUAUUAAAUUGUAUAUGUACCCUUAAACCCGUUGCUCAGACCUAUUCUAUCCGCCACAAAAAUUGGAAUAUAUCAUAUUUUAUAGGAUUAUUCCUAAAUUCAGAUUUUUAAAAAAUAAAUUAUGAAUAUUAGCAAAAUAUCUAAUGAGAUGUGAGCCAUAUGAUGGACCAAUCAACACCAACGGCUCAAAACCAUUCUGAAAAAUAUAACUCAAUUGAUAAUCCCAUGUUAACUUUUGUAUUCACUAAGAGGUCAACAUUUCUAGAUAAUUCAUAAAAUGGAUAAAUUUUAUGGCUGGUCAAUAAUAAAAAUUAAUGGCAUGAUGUAUUUGUGAGUGUUACUUUGGGUAUUCCAUUGUGUGAAUAUUUGCCUUAAUUCUGUUUAUUUAUUGGGGAAUUCUUGGUCAUAGGGUAGGAAACAUGCCAUAUAGUAACUAUCUUAGGAUGAUAAUGAAAAUUUUUAAUAUAUUUUAUAUUAAAAGAUAUUAUGAGUAAUCCCCUAUUUACAUAACAUGACCACUAAAAAGGAAGGGGCAAUAAACAUGAUAUCUAAAACUUAUAAAUUAUAUGUAUAAUAUCCAAUAUCCUUUAAGUAAACCAAGUCGUAAAUAUGAACAUACCUAUUUACCUUGCAUGGUAUAAGUGAGGCCCAAUAUCUUAAAAGUCAUUACUAGUAUAAAGCAGACCACAUUAGGUAUCACUAGCUAUUGGUACAACUUAGUAUAACAUAGUGUGAACAUGUGUGUGUAGCACUACAUGAUAUGACACUAGCAUGAUGCAGCAUGACAAUGCAUAUGUGAGUAAUAUAAUGUGACAAGGAGAAACUCAAUGUUGGCACAAACAAGCAUAAGGUUGCAUGUGUGUAGGAGAUGCACAUACAUCAUGGGCAUAAUUGAUGUGAUAAUUAUGUUAUAUUAUGCAUGUAAUCAUAUAAUUGACAACUACUUGAUAAUUAUGAAUGUACAAGCCCACAUUUGGCACCUUAGUUAACCCUAUAAAUAAAGGCAUUGACAACUUGUAAAAUAAAACACAUGGCAUGUUCUAUCUCAAAAUGAGAGACAAUUAUUACAGUGAACUAUUAUUUUACAAGAUUUCCCUUAGAAGUAAGGAGCCAUCUACACAAUUUAGGAUAAAGGUCAUGAGUAGAGCUCACCUUUUAUAAUUCUUCUAGCCAUUUUAUUAAUUGAAAAGUAUACAUUUUUCAUAUUCAUUAAGACCCCUCUCUCUUAUCUAUUUUUGCAACACCAUACGAACCACAUGAAGGUUGAUAUUACUUGAGCAUAUUAUUGAGACAUGUCAAUGACAUUAUAUUAUAAAUCAUUAGACCUGGGUCAACUAUGUGGCAACAUGACAUUUGAUAUCAUAAUAAGUUACCAAUUAGUAAUCAUCAAUUGGUAAUGGAACAAAGGCAUUUAUUAAAGUGAGUGGUUUUUAGUAUGACUUAUACUAAGGGUGGAGUGCAAAGGUUAUGUAUUGAUCACUUGGAGGAGAAGGCCACACAUUAGAUAAUACAAUUUAAGCAAACAUUAGUUGAAUAUCUAUUUUUCUUGAGCAAAUGGAGCAAAUAAAAGCUACCUCAUCAUAAGUAGUGUCUCACCUAUCCUCUACUUAGGCAAAUGAUGUCAAAGUUAUGGAGUUGUGAAAGAAUUAUUAUGUUCUAUUAAUCAAAGUGAAAUUAGUGAAAUGUUGGUGACCACAAUCUCUAAGGAAGAUUUUAUGCUACAAAGGUUGUCAAAAUCUUAGUUUGUAGGGUCUAAGAACAUGUAAGAGUUAGAGAGCUUUAUAUGAGAUAUGUACAAAAACUUUUAGGUGAGUCUCAUGUCAAAAAAAGAGCAUGUUCAUCUAGCUAGUAUAUACCAAUUAAUGGAUGCCAAAUUAUAGAGGCAUAGAAGGACUAAGAGUGAGUCUUGUAUCCCCAUCAAUUCAUGGGGCUAAUUUGUCUAGGAAUUGGGGGAGUAGUUCUAACCCACCAAUAAUGUAUAGGUGUCAUACAUAUCUCUAUAGAAACUUUGUCAAAUAAGAGUAUUUCAUGAAAAUUUGAAGAGAUUAUCUUUAAUCAUCCUUGAUACCAGGGGGUAUGCCCAAAGUUAAUAAGGUAUUCUAUUCAAUGGCUAGGUUGCAACUAUAGGCACAAAUGGAGAAUAAACAUAAGAGAGCUCAAGACCUCAAACUGUUGAUGGAAGUUGAUGACACCUUCAUUAAUUUGCUAAGAUCUAACACCUUUAGAAUGUUAGGAGGUGCAAAGUAGUGAAAAGACUAAGGAGGUUUUCUUUAGGUUACUUUGGCAAGCUUAACUGUAUGGUGUUAAUGAGGAGUAGCUCCCAAAGGUCAAGGAGGUUCCAAGAUUAUUGCAUUAGUUGCACAAGGCUAAGUAAAGGGAAGCUACAACUUAAGUUGGGUUCAACACUUGAAGAGGAAUUAAUCAAAAGGGUUUGUCAAUUUAUUAAUAACAUAAGAGGAGUCAAACAAGGAUAGACUAACUUAUAAUCCUUUGUAAGGAUUAAAGGUGUUGUAAUAGUAUAUGUAGAUUAGGCAAAUUGGCAACGGUAAGUUGAUACAUGUGCAGAUCACCAUCAUGGGUUAUACUACUCUAGUGAUAAUUGAACUAGGGCGACUGACAACUUCUUAUCAAAGAAGGAGGUGACAAUGUUGGGCCUAAUGUUGUCAUGGGGAGACAACUAAGUUAAGGAUGUCAACUCAAAGAAAUAUAUCUACUAGUCGUGUGGUGUCUCACCAAACCUAAGAGCAUGAGAGGGAGAGGUGGAUUUUCAAGUGCUCAAGUUAGAUGGCUUCAAUGCCAUACUUUAUAUGGGCUUCAUACUGAAUUCACAAACAAGGGUCUUCCCCUAUUUUUAUAGUUGUCUUAGGUAAGUUGAGUCUCUACUUUAUUCCAAGAGUGUAGGAGGUCAAGAGGGGCCUCAAGAUGUUGUUCUUACUCUAGUUUAGGGAUGGGUAGAGGAAGGCCAAAUGAACCUUCAUUGAUAUUCUCAUAUAGCCUAAAAAAAUAGUGUUAGGGCUAAAGUUUGGUGGAUGUGGAUUGAAAGUGCCUAUCAAAGUAGGUGUGGUAGCAUCUAAGACUACUUCAAAACUCUAGCCAUGAUAAGGACUAUGAAGUCCAGCAAUAGAGGGAAGUAUGAAACCUCUAACUCUAUUUAAUGAAUCCCCUAAGUCUAGUCAUUUGUGCAUACUAUUCUUCCCAUGUCUUAACAAUACUCUCAAACAAUAAAAACCAUCAUGUGGCUUGAAAGGUAUUAAAAAAGGUAGAUAAUAGAAGUAAAUCUUGAGGAACAUGGUUAUCUUGUUCAUCUCAAGGAAUACAAAGUCUGAAAGGGUUACAAAGAAUGAGCUCGACUAGUAACUUCUACCCUAAAUAGUUCAUGAGGCACCCUACUCAUAGGGGAGGGUGAGAUGAAUGAUAACUCCCCCUAAUAAUUGUGUCCCCCAAUAAGGCAAGAUAUGCCCAUGUCAUAUCAAAAAUUUCACAGUUACUCACUCAAUUACCAAUCAACUAGUAGUUAUAUGACCUUGCCUAGAAUGUGUCAAAAUUGAUGAAAUGGUUAUGUUUUCUGCACACCUCUAUACACAUGUCAUCUUAUGCAUGCAUGCAUCAAUGUUGGCUCACCAUGUUGUAUCACAUCACGCCACACCUACCUACAUGAUGUCACACCUACCUACAUAGCAUGUUAGGCUCCACAAUGUCAUGCACACCCAUGUGCACCACACCUACCUACAUCAUGUCAUGCCAAGUUGCCCCUCCAUGCCAUUCUAUGAUCCAUAGUGUCAUGCACACCCAUGUGCACCAUGCCAUGUUACUCCACAUCGCUGUCAUGCUGCACUAUGCCAACAGUUAACAAGACUUGCUAUGGUCCCACCAUGCACUAGUGAGGGCCCUUGUUGGGCUUCUAUGCAUCCUCCAUGUGCCACCACACAUGGCAUGCCAUGUCAUACCUCAUGUUGAGCGGCUUACAAUGUGCACAUCAUGUGCACAUAUGCAUACAUGCAUAUGUGCCUACUCCUCAAGUGAGCACCAAAGUUUUAAUGUCAAAACCUUACUCCAUGGGGUUGUGACACUUUCACAGUGGCUCAAAUUGCCCAUAUCAAGGUUGACCUAGUUAGGUUUUGACAUUGUCGCAUAGGAUGUCCUAAAAAAAAAUUAAGAUUUAUAUUUCUAAAUAAAAAUAAAAAACAAGCUAUGGGUUUAAGGUUUGGGCCCAUGUUCAAAUCCAUUUGUUAGUAAACACAUACAUUGACAUUAAAAAAAGAAAUUUAACAUUCCAACAAUAAAUGGGUGCAAAGUCUUUUUUCUCAGGCCUUUUCUCUGAGCUUGAGUACGGCUUAACAAGUAGUAGACUCUACAUUGACCUCUUGAAACCCUAUAGUGGUAAUAUAAUAACAAUAACAUAGAAAAAAAAUUAAGACAAUGCCUAUUGUAAAAAGGCCUCAAUAAAUAUUUUUGAUUACAUCACGAUACCCCAUAGAAGACUGGAUGAGAGUGGCUUUUCAAUAAGGACCAAAGUUAAUAGUAUUUUUAAAGUCCUUACAAUUAGAUGACCACAUAUAGAUAUANNNNNNNNNNNNNNNNNNNNNNNNNNNNNNNNNNNNNNNNNNNNNNNNNNNNNNNNNNNNNNNNNNNNNNNNNNNNNNNNNNNNNNNNNNNNNNNNNNNNNNNNNNNNNNNNNNNNNNNNNNNNNNNNNNNNNNNNNNNNNNNNNNNNNNNNNNNNNNNNNNNNNNNNNNNNNNNNNNNNNNNNNNNNNNNNNNNNNNNNNNNNNNNNNNNNNNNNNNNNNNNNNNNNNNNNNNNNNNNNNNNNNNNNNNNNNNNNNNNNNNNNNNNNNNNNNNNNNNNNNNNNNNNNNNNNNNNNNNNNNNNNNNNNNNNNNNNNNNNNNNNNNNNNNNNNNNNNNNNNNNNNNNNNNNNNNNNNNNNNNNNNNNNNNNNNNNNNNNNNNNNNNNNNNNNNNNNNNNNNNNNNNNNNNNNNNNNNNNNNNNNNNNNNNNNNNNNNNNNNNNNNNNNNNNNNNNNNNNNNNNNNNNNNNNNNNNNNNNNNNNNNNNNNNNNNNNNNNNNNNNNNNNNNNNNNNNNNNNNNNNNNNNNNNNNNNNNNNNNNNNNNNNNNNNNNNNNNNNNNNNNNNNNNNNNNNNNNNNNNNNNNNNNNNNNNNNNNNNNNNNNNNNNNNNNNNNNNNNNNNNNNNNNNNCUCUCUCUCUCUCUCUCUCUCUCUCUCUCUCUCUCUCUCUCUCUCUCUCUCUCUCUCUCUCUCUCUCUCUCUCUCUCUCUCUCUCUCUCUCUCCCCCUAAUCCCACAAAUAAUUUUCGUAAAAUAUUAUCCUUAAAACUCGUAAUUAAUUAUUAUAAUUUUUUACCCAAGCUCACUGUUUGCCAUUGGUGUACCCUAGGCUAAUAGGCUAAUGGGCAUAAUAACCUCGGAUAAUAAGCUUCCAAAUUUCGGUCAUGCGCUUCAAAAGCAUUAGUCCCUUACUAAAUCGCUUGAAAUUCCUUGAUUUGACUGUGUUGUGCCUAAGAAAUCAUAUACUGGUAUUGAGAGAGAUAGAGAAAGAGAGAGAGAGAGAGAGAGAGAGAGAGAGAGAGAGAGAGAGAUGAUUGACCUAAACUCAUUUUGUCUGUCCUCUUCCUAGGCAUGGCUGUACACUUUUGAAGAUGUCCAAGUUUUGGCUGGACUCGGUGGUAGUGGUUCAAGGCUGGCUUGACCCAUCUAGAAACCAAACUCAUGAGGAGCUUGCUUCAUCUCCUUUCUCCUUUUCUGGGUGGUAAAUUAUUAUGGUUUUAUUGAGGUAUAUGACCUAGAAGGUCAAAAAAUCACAUUUUUCACAUGAACAUCAACUUGAAUUUGUCAUAUGUUGAGAAUGUGAUGCCCAAAACCGGAUUACAUGGCCAAAUCAUAAUACAUUAUUGCAUAAUUUAAAGAUCAUUUAAUACUAAGAUAGUGGAUUAUUUGUCGUCGUUAUUUCCCCCAUUAGCAUAUGACCGAGGCUUCCCUCGGAAGAGACUGUAAAAUUUUUAUGAGCCUGGGUAGAAUAAUUUGAAAAACUCCAGCUCAGCUCGGAAUUUUCAGCAACAUAUUCUGGGUUUUUUAAUCCAAGCAUGCCCGAUUAAACAGAAACCGAUGUUUACCGCCAUUUGAUUUUUAGUAGCUUUUUUUGUUUGUUUGUUUGUUUGUAUAUUUUGUGGUGGGCAUCUAAUACCCCGGGGGUGGAAGAAUUUUAGAAACUCCAGCCCAGAUCGGAAUUUUCAGCGACAUUUUCUGGGUUUUUUAUAUCAAGAUCACCCGAUAAAAAAAACCGGUUUUUACCGCGAUUUGAUGCAUUUUCCGUUUUUAUUUUAUUUUUGGGUGGGUCUUUUCCUCCUCUUUACCAAGUUAGGAUCUUUCAAAGGACGGAAAAGAGAGAGGAAGAGAGAGAAAGAGCAUUAUGAGGCAGUUCAUCGUCGCAUAAGAACGCUCAAAACAUGGUUGAAGAAGAGAAAUCGGGAGAAAAAUAACACCAAACAGAGUUAUAUUACAUGAACGUACAUAGAAACCACCAUCUCUCUCUCUAUCACACAGAACCAGAAGAGACCAGACGGAAUUUCAAACACCAAGCAAUGAAAAAAUGGAAGAGAGGGGAAGGAGAGGUGGGUCUUGGGCCUCAGCAGAAGAGGAACCCGAAGGCGAGCGCCGACAAGGAGGCCACGGCGGCGGCGACGGGGCCGGCGACGGCGACGGCACCGGAGACCGGGCUCGGCGCCGGCGCAUCGGCGGCGGCGACGCUCCCCAUCAAGGAGCAGCCAACGACGGCGGCCAUGGCGGCGGCGGCGUAGACCCUCGACUUCAACCCAGACUCCAUCGCAAAAUGCGGCGCUUCUCCUUCUCCUUCUCUCUCUGUCUCUCUCUCUCUACCCCUCGCCGGCGACGGAGAAGGAAGCGGCGGCGUAUGCGCAGACUAAAACAGAGAGAUAUAGAUAUAUAUGUAGAGAGAGAGAGGAGAGCGAGAGAGAGCGCUG